AUGGUUGAAAAUGAUUAAACCAUAAGAUAAAAGAGCUUUUAUUCAAAAUGCAAAAAUCAACAAAAUAUUAAUUAUCGCUCAACUUAGCAUAAUUAAACAUUUAGGUGUGAAAAUCAAAUCACAAUUUGAGUAGCUAAACAUAUCGCUUGAAAAUGUGAUAAGUAAGAAACUUGCCCACAUUUGAGUAGCGACAGGUGGUGAUGCAUUUCCCAACGAGAGAAAACCAAGCUCUUUGCCAGUAUGGAUUUAUGUAGAGGACAACAAAAAUUGUCAACAACACAACUACAUAAGAAACCAAAAAGCUCACACAAAAAUCACCUAUCAAACCAUCUUCUCCUUUAUCUUCUGAUACAGUUAAUAUCGUUGAUGGCGAAUCGAUUUUGGAACAACUUUUAUGCAAUAUAGCUCCACAAAGAAAAGGAUUUCCCUCAUAACUGUUUUCAAUAAAGGUCCCAAAUUGAGCUUUUUCGGGAAUACUACCUGACAAGUUGUUGUAUGCCACGCUGAAAACCUCCAAAGAGUUCAACUCUACCAACUGAUUGGGGAUUUCACCACUCAAAUUGUUGUAAGAAAGGUCCAAACUCUCAAUUUGAUGUAGUUUUGCGAAUGACGAGGGUAUAACUCCUGUCAACUUAUUGUGCGACAAGUUUAAAGAAUGGAUUUCACUUAAGUUCCCUAAUUCUGGUGGGAUAUGACCAGUUAAGUUGUUGCAAGAUAAAUCAAUCCCGGUCAUAUAUGAAAGGAUGUUGCCCUCGUACAAAAAGAUCCCACUCUUUGUUGUGAACUCUAUUACUUCUUCUAAGUAGCUGUCAGGAUAGGAAGAAUCUAUUCCCAAAUUUAGUAUCAUACUGCGUGUUGUUUCAUCCUCUUCUAUAGGCCCAUAGAACUCAGUGUCUAGAAUCUUCUUCGUUUGCAUUAGAAGAGAUAAAUUUCCCAAGCAAGAAGGUAUAGGACCAGAAAACAUAUUUUGAGAAAGAUCUAUGAUGCUUAAAGAAUGCAACUUGCAUAACUCAACAGGAACUUUACCAUGAAAAUGAUUAUCUUUCAAGAGAAGAACACUCAAAGAAGAAAGCGUGUAAAUCCAUUUUGGAAUACUACCUGUCAAAUUGUUUCCUCUAAGAUCUAAACUCACUAUUGAAGAGCUAUUAUAAAAAGCAAGCGACAGUGGGCCUCUCAGUCUAUUCCCGUGGAUGUGGACAUGCUCUAUGUAUGGUGGAUUAAAACAUGACGGUAUAGAGCCAGAUAAAUUAUUCUGAGAAAGAUCCAAAAAUUCCAACCUAUUCAACUUGCAAAAUUCCAUUGGAAUAGAACCUUCAAAACCAUUAUUAGACAAAUCUAAUCUCCACAAAAAUGAUGCAUUCCCUAUCCAUCUUGGGAGCUUUCCAUGCAACUUGUUGUUACUGAGAUCAAUUUGGCUUAGUGAAUAUGGAAACUCAAAAGUAGAGGCAUUAACAUUUGUCAUCUCUCCUGAAAAAUUAUUUCCAUCCAAAUAUAAAUUCUCCACCCCAUUCGCGCUGAGAAUCACAGGAACUACAUUUCCACUGAAGUUGUUAUUUGAUAGUUUCAAAAUGAUCAGUGAGCCUUUCGUGAUCAACUCUUCUGGUACUUUUCCAUACAAUUGAUUGUUUGAUAGAUCUAAAAAUGAUAAGUACUUCAUGCCACUUAAACAAAGUGGGAUAUUACCUUCAAAAGCAUUCUUGGAUAAGAGUAACCGCCUCAAAUGUGGAAAAGUUGAACAUAUACCAGUCGGAAUUUGACCUUGUAAUUUGUUUUCAGAUAUGUCAAUUGAAGAUACAUUAGAAAUAAGAGCUGACGAACGUGAGAGAGGACCUGUAAAUGAAUUACCCUUCAAGAUGAGUUCUUCUAACUUUGUGUUGUUUUCUAGCAACCAAGUUGGUAAAGUUCCACUGAGAUUGUUAUGAGAAAGAUCCACAUAUCUCAAGUCAUAUUGGUAGUAAAGGAAGGUAGGAACUUUUCGACUGAGUUGUUGAGAUGUUAUGCACUUUGACAAACUGAUGACUUCCAAUUGGAACUUUGGGAUUGAGGUAUAAAAGGAAGGUUCCAAUACCAUUUUGUUUUCAUUACUGGAGAGGGCUUUGAGGUUUGAAAGGUUUGCAAAUGGUGCAAAUGACAGUGGAAUUUGAAAAUGGUUUCUUGAAAUAUCUAACACACGAAGAGAUGUCAAGUUACUAAAACAAUGAGGAAGCAUCCCCUCAAGUGCAUUCUCACUCACUUCCAACACUUCAAGGUUCCUUAGAUCACACCAUCCUGAAAAUUUUAUAAAUUCAUGGAAGAAGUUUCAAUUAAAUCUUGUUUUAUAAAACAGAAUAGGAUAUAAUAUAUUACAGAAAGCACAUACAGCAAUCAAUUUGAGCCAUAAAAUUAUUUACCUUGAUUAGGUAAGGGACCAAUAAGUCCACAAUCAGAUAAAGACAAUGUUUUAAGAGAAGCAAAUACUCCAAUGCUUUGCAAAAUGUUGGUGUUGAGAGUAGAAUUGUCAAGAUAUAUUUCCUCCAAAUUGCUCAACACAUUUGAAUCUAAGCAAUGUCAAGAGGUAUUAGAUAACGGUAUUAUAGAAAGCCUCUACUAAGUGAAAUGCUUUAUUUUCUGUGAAUGAAAUGAAAUAUAUAAAUUUUUUUUAUGAGUGUUAGACUAUUCAUGAUUAUCUGAGAUAAAUUUUGAUGGAGAGAAGAUGUUGAAACUUUAAUAUAACUCUUCAUCCAUUUUAUUAAUUAUACUAUUUUUUUUCUUUUUAGUAUUUUCUUAUAUUAUUUUUUAAUAUAAGUAAUUAACUGAUAUGGCUAAUUUGUAUAAUUUUCAAACUCCAAUCAACAACACUAUAAAUAAUAUUUAUAAAAUAAAACAUUUCUACACUAAAAUUAUUAUAUUACCUUUAAAGUUACCAAUACUUUAAAAAAAAAUAAAAAUAGGUAUUUUACUCACCAAUAAAUAAAAUUCAAAAAUAUAUUUAUAUAUGAAAUUAAAAAAUUUAUAUGUAUUUUUACUUUAAAAAAAUAAAAACAGGUAUUUUACCAAUACUCUAAUAUGUAUUUUUAUGUUUUAUACUAUUAAAAAUAUAUGAAAUUAAAAUAUAGUUAUAUUACAUAUUUUCUCAUAAAUAUAUGUUUUUAUUUAUUUAUAAUAUCAUUUUUUUAUUGUUAUAAUCAUUUUUUAUCUCAUAAAAAUUCAAUAAAUUAUUUUAAAAAAUAUAUUUAUACAAACAAAAUAAUUAUAAACAUUAAUAUUUAAAAAUUAUGAAAAAUUUAAAGAAUUUUAGUUUCAAACCAAAGUCGAAACACAUUAUAAUGGAGGGUUUAGAAAAUGUUUCACCAAACCCAUAUUUUACUUUCAAGUAUGAUAUGAUAUAACUUUAUUAAUAUUUAUGACAAUAACUGUUAUUAUAAUAUCUGAGAUCAAAACUAAAUUUCUAAAUUAAAAAAGAAAAGGAAAUUUAAUUAAAUGAUACCUUGGUGGAUCACAAAAUCUCUCAAUUCAUUAUAGCUCAUAUCUAGUUCCCUUAAUUUGAUAAAUGCUUCCAAAUCUAGGAAAACAAAAACAACAAAUUAAUCAACUCCAUUAUAUUCUCUUAAAACAUUAUUAUAUUCUUGUUAAAAAACUAAUAUUUUUACCUUUCAUAUCUAUUGAUCCUUUCAAUUGAUUGACCCUUAUGCUCAACGAUUUCAAAUUUGAAAGCUUGUUAAGGGAUGCAAAUGCACUAGUAUUGAAGAGAUUUCCAUCUAAAUUAAGCUCUUCCAAGUGGGUCAACUCCAAUUUUCUACCACCAUCUACAAAAGAUUUAUAUAAUUUCAUCACUGAAAUGAAUUGGCAUAAAAUUUAAUUAUAUGUAAGAAUUUAGGUAAUUGGUUAAAUAUAAAUGCAUACCUUUAAAGGAUUGAAAGCUUUCAAUUUGAUUCCCACUUAAAUCGAGUUUCUUCAAAUUUGUUAAAUUGCUCAAUCCUAUACAUAUCCACGUCCAAUUUAAAAAAUCAUUAUGUUAAUAAUUUUAAUUUCUACUUAAUAUUUUAAUGAAAUAAAAAUGAAAAAGAAAGUAAAUCUAAAACUUGAAGUGAAGAUGAAAAUCCUCAAACGUGAAAUGUGAAUGUUCAAAAUUAAAACAAUUGAUUUUAAAAGGUUCUAGAAAGAAUUAUCAAGAAAAACAAAGUUAUAGCUUUAGUACCUUUAGUAUCUAAUGAGCCUUGCAAACUGUUCGACCUCAUAUUCAAGGACUUUAGGCUUGAAAGCCCUUGAAGAAAGGAAAUUGUGUUGUUCCGAAAGAGAUUACCACUCAAAUCAAGUUCCUCUAAGUUUGUUAGCCUCAAUUGUGUUCCAUCUAUCAUUGGAAGAAAAUAAUAUCAUUCAAGAUAAAAAUAGUUAGGAAAAAUGAUUGUUUGAGAAGGAAGAGGCAAUUUACAAGCUUUCCCAUGAAUUGAUAACUACAUUUUACAAGUAAAACUUAAUUGAUUCAAUAUAUAAAUACUUUGUUUGAGAUACCUUCCUAUUUUGAAAUACUGCAACAUUAACUGUCCCUUAAACAAAAAUUGGUUUUAAAGUGAAAAAGAAACAUAUAAAAGCAGUCCACCUUUAAUAUGAAUUGACAUAUAAAUACUGUACUUAUACCUUGGUUUGAGAUGCUUUCAAAUUUCAAUUCUGUUCCAACUUAAAUCCAAGUAUUUCAAGUUUGUCAAAUUAUUCAAUCAUAAAAUUCAAUCCCAAAUAUUGAUUAGUUAUAUAUUCAUCGUAUGAUGAAAUCAAACUUGAAUAUACAUUGAUUUUUAAAGUUGAAAAGAAACAGGUAAAAUCAGUCUACCUUGAAUAUGAUCCAUCCUUCCUUUCAACUCAUUACCACUCAAUCUUAAAGUCUUCAAGGAUGAAAGAUUUCUCAUAUGGAACAAAAUGCUAUUCUUCAAAGAAUUCCAACUUAAAUCAAGAGUUUCCAAGUUAUUGAGUCUUGAAAGCAAUUGAAAACCUGAUAUAUAUACAUAAUUACUUGUUAAUUGUUUUUUUCUUUCUUUGCUAUAUGAAAAUUUUACUAAAGCAAUAGUGGAAUUACAACGGAUAAAAAGAAUGGAAAACUAGGUACCAAACCCAGAAGACCAUCCUCAAACUCCACUAUACAAAUAAAAACUAACACCAGACCAAACUUAAUUUACCUCUUAGAUGACUUGAUCCUUCUAAUUUGUUGUGUGAUAGAUCUAAAUACCGGAGAGAUGAAAGCUCACUCAAAGAUAACAAAAUGCUGUCAUUCAAGUAGUUUUCACUUAAGUCAAGGAUCUCCAAAUUACUCAACGUGGAUGAUAGUUUUCCAAAGCCUAUAGAAAUAUUCUUUUAAAUAUAUACAAGUUAGUGACUUUUCUUCCAUAAAAUAAAAUAAAAUAUAAGUAAUUGCAAAUUAACGAUGGUGAGAGUAGUGGAAUAAUAAAAGAUGUAAUUAAGGAAAAACUAGAGGCACGACCUUCAUUUUCAAGAUUACCACUUAUGGCAUUCCCCGACAAAUAAAGACUCUUCAAUUCCUCAAAGGGAAGAAACAUAGAGGCAUUGAGAUACCAGGCAUUGAGAUUCCUAUUAUCCAUGUCGUAUUCCCAUUUUGUAGAAUUAAGGGAGAGUUGUAUGAGUCUCCUAGUGGUGGUGUUACACUCAACUCUUUCCCAUUUACAACAAUCUGAACCCUUCACCUCAACCCAACUAUUCAAUUGAUUACCAUCAUUGAAGAAAGGUUUGAGAUGCAAGAGAGCGAUUCUCUCAUGCUCCAAACAAGCAUCAGUAGUACACCAUCUGCAUCCUUCUAACACCAACAACAUUACUGCCAUCCUAAUAAACCUUAACCAUUUCCACUUCAUCAUCAUCAUCAUCUCUCUGUUUUCACUUCUCUCUCAGCUAUAUGUUACUUUUUUUUAACUUCUAUAUGUAUAUAAUCUAAAGAAGCCUAAGCUUCUUAUUUAUAUACAAGCAGAUGCAUCCCACUAACUCACUAUAAUGUAAAAAUAAUAUAUAAUUAAUUAAUUCCUCAAAAAUUGGAUCAAAAUCUAGGCUUCUUAUUUACGUAAAUUAUUUAUUGCAAAAACUCUUAGUGGAAAUUCGUUAGGAAGGGAUGAAGGGGCCACAAGAAUAUUGAUGUUAAUCUUGAAAAACGAAUGGCCAAAAAAAUAUGAAAAGUGAGAGGUGGACAUAAAAUCGUAUAGUUGGGAUUGCAAAAGUCUUCAUGUGGCUUUCUUGUGAGUUUCAUUUAUACCCUUCUUACACUUAUACAAACUUAGUCUUGACUUGGCUUUAUUAAUGGAAAAUUUAGGUCUUCAUUUUUGGUUUUAUUCAUAGAAAUUUUACUUCUUUGAUUUUGGUUUUAUUAAUGGAAAUUUUAAGUCUUCAGUUUGCUUUUAUUCUUGCACAUUUUAGGUUUUGAUUUUGAAAAUUUAGUUUUUUCAUCUCUAUUAUUAUAAAAUUUCUUAAUUUAAUUAAUAUCAUGAGUUAAUUUAAUACUUUAAAAAAUAAAAUAUUACAUUCACUAUUUUUUAAAAAAUAAAAGUAACUAUAAAAUUUUAUUAUUUAUAUAAUAUUUAAAAAAAAACUAUUUAUUUCUACUAGACCACUACUUUAAAACUAUCCAUUAUCAUAUUGUAAUAGGCCCAAUUUGCCCGGGCCCGGUAAAUAAAUAAAACCAAUAAAAUCAAAUAAAAAAUAGUCCCAAAACAGUCCAUUUACAAUGACCCAAUACCAACCCAAUGGCCUAAAUCUCUACCCAAGCCCGAAUCUAAACCUAAACAGGCCCAAAACCCACUAAACCUAAUGGCCCAAUACCCAGCUUGGCUGAGACAAACCCUAGCCUUCAGCAGCUUUCUGCUCUUGCGCUGCAGCCAAGCCGCUCCUCACGUACGAGCCUCAUUCAUGCGCCGCACCGAGCAACGCCAUCGCCAGGGACCACGCCUGUACUGUGCCACGCGAGCCUCCGUACAUGCGCGCCCGUUCACCUCUGUACCAGUACCUGCAAAUACACACAAGAAGCAGCGAAGCAACAAAAAAAAAGAGAAAAUAGCAGUAGAAAAAUAGGGGAUUUUCAGUUUUUAUUUGAUUUUUCUGGCUAUAAAAGCCAAACACGCAGAUUGUAUCAUAGGGGGAACUCACGCAUAUUGCAAAAAAACAAGGGGCAGAAAAUCAAUACAAAAAAAAAAAGAAAAGGUUUUCUCUUCCUUCAGGUCUCUUUUCUUCUCCAAUUGUUUCUUUUCUUUUUCGAUUGUUAUUAGCCUCAUAUAAGUAUAGAUAUAUAUAGAGUAAAUAAUAACAAAAAGGGGGGGUUAAAACGUACCUGGUGAUGCCUUUGAAUCCACGCGAAGAAGCCAAAAAGCCUUGAAUGGUGAGGCUCCGACCACCAUUCGCAGUGGAAUCAAGGCGGAGGGGCGGACUGACGGCACUGAAGACUAGGGUGAAACCCUAGCAGAGGAAACAAUAAGCAAUUUUUUUUAAAAACGAGUCUGCUAAUGUUUUUUUUAGGGUAAAUUUUGUUUAAAUAAUGAUACAAUACGGAGCCGUUUUGGGCUAGGGUUCCUAGCGUCCAAACGACGUCGUUUAGAGGCCUUACCCAAUGACCCGAUCCAGAUGGCGGCUAGAUCCGCGUGUUUGGUAGGGGGAGGGGAAAUUUCGCGAAGAGUCCCUCUUGUUUUGUGCCGUUUCGGUUUGAUUUUCUUCAUUGUUUUUAAUUUGAAUCGCGUAUUUUAUUUUGUUUUCAAUUUGAUCCACAGUUAAACGGCGCCGUUUUCACUAAUCGGAUUUGAGCAUCCGAACAUUUGUGUUUAUUUUCUGUUUUAGUCCUCUCUGUUAUUUUUUAUUAUGAUUUUUACCCUCCUAUUUUAUUUUCACCCUAAUUUAGUCCCGAAACUGUUAGAUUUCACUUUAUUUAUGCAAUGUAUAUAUUUAUUUAUUUUAAACUUUAUAUUAUUUAUUUUAAAUCGUUCUAUUACUAUUUAUUUUAAGCCUUUUUUACAUAUUAUAUGUUUUAAAUUAUGUUAAUCAAUUAUUCAUUUUAAAUAUAUAUUAUUUAUGUUAAACUACAAAUGUAUAUUAUUUAUUUGGAAUUGUUCUUAUGCACAUCAUGCAUUAUCAUUUUUAAAAAAAUAAUAAUAAUAGAAUUUGUUUGCAUAUUGUUCAUUUAGGAUUCCUUCUCACACAUUACUUAUUUUAAACGUUUUACAUAUUAUUUUAAAUUGUUUUAUAUGUUUUUUUUUAAAUGCUUUGAAGAUUAUUCAUUUUAACUUGUUUUACACAUUAUUUUAAUAUGUAUGGAAUUGCUUUAAUAUAUAUAUACGUGAAUAAAACGUAUUGUAACUGGUAAUUUCUAAAAUUUUAUUCUACGUUUUAAAAUUUUUAUCAUUUCGAUUAUGUUGAUUGGUUUACUUGGGAUUAAAUUAUUAUUGCAUUGAUUAUUCUUUUUUUUGAUUUUUUUGUUAGAUUGAUUAUUAGUUUAUUUGAUUAUCAAUGUUGAUGUAUUAUAUGUUUGGUUGCUCCAAAUUGUAAAUUUAGCUUGCUAUUCACCAUUUGAUUAGUAUAUUGAUAUUUUAUUAUAUUGUUUGUAAAAAUUGCAUUUCAUUAAAGCAUUACAAUUGUUUUAUUUCAAAAUUCUCAAAAAGCUUGGUAUUUAAAAAUUCUCGAGAGGAUUGUGCCCUAACUUACUGGGCUUACCUUUUUUAAUUUGAACAUAGAAGUUUCAAAAUAAAAGCUCAUUCUCGGGAAUUUGACACGUUGUGUCCUAACGCAUUGAAUAUGACUAUUAUUUUCUCGAGAUGAGGAUUUUAAGGCAAUGUUCGAUAUUUAGGAAUUUUGUGAAAUCGAACCCUAACUUACUGGGUUUUGAUUUUCUCAUUUGACCCAGAUAAUCGGACAUCCUCCUCAAAAUGCAUAGGUUUUAAAAGACGAGAGAUAAACUUAACUUGGAGGACUUAAAAUGUUGCACUCUAACUUACUAAGGGUGACGAUUUAUUUCUUUGAAAUAAGUGAGUCUCGUCGUCCAAUUCAUUUUAUUCAAAAUAAAAGGAUCAAAUUUUAAAAUCUUUUCAAAAUUUUGACAUUAAGACAUUAAACAUUCCAAUCGGUACCAAUUUUGGGCGUCACGAGGGUGCUAACCCUUCCUCGUGCGUAACCAACUCCCGAACCCGUUUUCUCAAAAAUUCGCAGACCUAAAAUUAUUUUCAAGGUGAUCCGCACACCACAAUAAAAGAUCGGUGGCGACUCCAUUUCCAUUUUCAAAAUUGAUCCCCAUUUUUCAAAUUACAAAAAAAUGGCUUCGACACAUAUAACUUCUCUUUAAUAAUUCACUAUUCUUUGAACAUUCAUUAGUUUUUGAAACAUAAAAUUUAUAAAUAAUUAUUUUUAGAGUAAACUACACCCAUGGUCACUUUUGUUUACCUUAGGUUACAUUUCAGUCACUUAUGUUUGAAAUGUUACGUUUUAGUCACUUAAGUUAUUGUGUUGUAACAUUUUAGUCACUGAGCCGUUAGUUGUCGUUAAUGGCUGACGUGGCACGUUAAAUUAUCAUUUCAAACAAAAACUUUAGGUUAAAUUAUACAAUUGGUUUCCAUAAUUUUUCGUUUUGAGCAAUUUAAUUCUUUUAUGCUCUUUAACUUUCUUUCUUUUUUUUCUUUAUUUUCCAUUCUCUUCUGCUUCUCCCUGUUUUCCUACAUUCUUUAUUUCUUUUAACAUAUCAGGAAGUCGAAUUGGUAGUGAAGAAAGAAGCAUGGUAUGGGUUUAUGGGCUUUGGUUAUGGGCAAAUGAUGACAGUCGACUUCCUACUUCUUUUUUCACUGUCAAUUCGACUUCCUAAUAUGUUAAAAGAAAUGGGAAAAGUAUGAAAACAGAGAGAGAAACAAAAAAGAAUGGAAAAAAAGAGGAAAGUUUAAAGAACAUAAAAGAAAAAAAAUUAAAUUACUUAAAACGAAAAAAAUAUGGGGAUCAAUUGUAUAAUUUAACCUAAAAUUUUGUUUGAAAUGAUGAUUUAACGUGCCACGUCAGCUUACCGUUACACCAUUAACGACGAUUAAUCGCUCAGUGACUAAAAUUUUACAACAUGAUAACAUAAAUGACUAAAACGUAACAUUUUAAACAUAAGUGACUAAAACGUAACCUAAGGUAAAUAAAAGUGACCAUGGGUGUAGUUUACCCUUAUUUUUAAUAUGACUUGAUUUUUACUUGAAUCAUUUUUGUAAUUAGUUAAUUAAAUUGGGUUAUUUUAAAAAAAUCCUCUUAACUAAUAGCCAAAAAAAAAAAAGCCAUCAUGUAGAAAAUUCUGGUUUGUUGGAAAAAUAAAGACUUGACCUAUUACUUUAGAUUUUGAAAUGUUCAACUUGAUAUUGACAUAUGAUAAUAUGUACAAAUUUCUCAUUCUUUUAAAUUUCAGUGAUAUUACAUGUAUGAUAAUAUGUUUGCCACACCAAAUUUGAAAAUAGUAGAACUUAAUGAAUUUAACAGAUAUCUAAAAUAUCAAAUUAAAGUCUAGGAAUUAAAGCUACAACAUCAGUAAAGUACAAGAACUAUGGUAGAAUUAAACCUUUAUAUAAUAAUUUCCUUCUAUGAACCACAAUUCAAGUGCACCCGACAAGCUAAUUAAUAAAAAUUUAGUGGUAGAAUAUGUAUAUUCUUGUGGGUGGAAAUUUAGUGGAGAUGCCCAUCAUCUUUCCUAAUUAAUAAAAAUGAAGACUUAGAAAAUGUGCAAUCAUAAUCCUAGUUGUCGUUAUGGCCCCAAGAAUAGGUAUAUUAAUUUGUCUCUCUUCAGGAUCAAAGAUAAAUAAUAAAUUUUAUAAAGUUAAAACCAUAAUUCUAUAAUUAUAUUAAUGUAUAAUUUCAUAAAAUUUUAAAAAAUGUAUCUUUCAACUUUUUUAAGUAAAUUGAUAAUUCGUUAACUCAUAAUAUUUUUUUUUUCAAAAUAUUUAUGAGAACGAGUUCGUAUUCUAUUGUGUGGAAAAUUUUAGUACAGAUAUUGGUGAAGCCAAAUCCAACUUGUUUGACCAAGAAAGUCUCUGUCGUGUGGAAAAUUUUAGUUUUGUGGAAAAUGGACAUUACCAUUUCCUUGAAUGACCAUCAAUUUCUCCAUUGAGAUAUAGUAAGAGGGAGUGAAAUAUAUAUAAGGUAAUAUUUAAUGUAUUCACACCAAAUUUCAUUAAUGAGUAAAACAAAUAAUGAAUAAUAAUGAAAAUUGGAGGAAAUUGUUAAGAAAAUAUCAUUACAUAUAUCAACACUCACAUAAUUCAUUGUAUUAACUUUCAAAUGUUGACUAUUGACUUCUACAUCAACCUUGAGCUUAUAUAGGCCCCCCUCACGGAAAUAAUCUCACAUUUAAUGCCUAGAGGUGCUUAUGGGCCGGGCCGGGCCCAGAAAAAAUUUUAGCCCGGGCCCGGCUCGGCCCGAAAUAUGGGCCUGAAAUUUUGCCCAAGCCCGGCCCGGUAAAAAAUUCAUAAGCCCGAGCCCGGCCAUUUUUUAAAUAAAUACCAAAAAUUUAUUUUAAAAUUAAAAAAAUUUAAAAAAAGUAUUUUAAAAAUAUUUUAAAUAAAUACCAAAAAUUCACCCUGCAUCUAAAAGGAGGUCCAGCACUCGAAUCCCAUUCCCCAUAACUAAAAACCAUGUCACUGUGACUUGGUCAUAUCUCCGUUCAAAGUCGGACAUGGGUAGUUAAAGAAAAAUGAAGAGUCGAUGCAUGAUAGACUAAGGACUAGCUCAAAAGUGCUUUUAGAAAAAAUUGCUCUUGAAAAGAGGUGUGGAAAAGUGUGCUUGUUAGUUUUUAGUGUUGUUCAUUGCUGCCAAAAAUCGCAAUUGAAAGUUAAAAUGUUCUUUUUAGACAUGAUAGUAGAAAGUAAAAAAUUAGUCAAGUCAUAUGAUUUUUAAAUAAUUUAAUAUAAUGAUACAUGAAAUAUAACUUUUAAAUACCUUUUAAGUAAUUAAUAUAAAUUAGUUGUAAAAUUGAUAAUAUAUAAAAUAUUUUGAAAAAAAUAAAUAUAAUAAUAAAUAAGAUUUAAACAAUUUAAUAUAAUAAUAUAUAAAAUAUAAAUUAAUCUAAUUUUUAUAUACCUUUUAAAUAGUUAAUGAAAAUAAUAGUAUUUUGAUAAUUUUCCCUUUGAAAUGCAAAAGCCAAAAACAGUUUUUGACUACAAAAGCUAUGUGUUGUUCAUCACUUCUGCAGUGGAAAAACACUUCUCCAUGGUGUAAAAACACUUUUACCCAAAAAGGCUUUUUCACCACAGUAGAGAAUGCACCCUAAAAUUGUAAAUAGAAAAAGGAAGAACCAAACAUUGUUUCUACCCUGUUUUUGUCUCCUCUUUGAAAAUACUUUCCAAAAGUUUUAUCAUUUUUUUUUCUGUUUACGAUGCCUUAAAUGCAAAUUCCUUAUAGAAGUGCUUUCUUUUGAUCCACUUGCAUCAUUGUAAUAAGUUUGCAUUGCCUUCUUUCUAUGUUGAUUAUCGUUUAUUAAGUUUUCUGUUGGAUCUUAUAGUCAAAUUCCUUUACAUCAUGUAUGUUAAUUUGCUUAGCCCUGAUAAAUGUUAGAUAUAGGGUUAUCAGCUAAUUAGGAAAGACUGUAAUGAUAGUCACACCUUACAUCCAAAUUUUUACAUUGAGGUUCCUUAUUAUUUUUUCUUGUUUCACCAAUUGCAUCCUAUUUACAGUUCCUUAGCGUUAUCCACUGUGCUAGGGUGGUUCUUGUUCAUAUAUUAAUCACCAUGCGCCUUCAGCAAAUGCAAAGCCAGCCAGCAUCUUCUGAUUUGUCAUUGGAUACUACACUUUCAGCAAAUGUAAAGCCGCCAGAUUUUCAGCUGUUUUUAGAAGGUCAAGACACAACAAGAGCAACAUAUGUUGUAUUCUUGUCAAACAAGAUAAGUUUUCGCAUAUUAACGAUUCUUUUUCCAAGAUGAAUUAUUCUCCUGUUGCAUUUUUAUUUGGGUUCAAAUGUUCUGUGAAGUUAGCUUGCCAGUGCUUGUUUGUUCAUCAGCAUUUACAGCUCAUUUGUCAUUGGUCAGCAGAAUUUCCGCUGUUUUUAGAAGGUCAAGACACAACAAGAUCAGCAUAUGUUGUAUCUAACAUUUAUAUUCAACAACUGGAAACCAUGUCAUAAAUACAUAUGAAAAAUAUUUAAAAAUCCUUGGUUGAAUACUCGUGCACUAACAUUUUUUAAAAGUUAAUUUUGUGUUACUUUUUUCAUCUCUAUUAUUAUAAAAUUUCCUGAUUUACUUGAUAUCACGACUUAAUUUAGCAUUUAAAAAAUGGAAUAUUACAUUCACUAUUUUUUUAAAAAUAGGAGUAACUAUCAAAAUUAAUUAUUUAUAUAAUCUUUUUUAUAAAAACUAUUUAUUUCUACUAAACCACUACUUUAAAACUACCCAUUAUCAUACAACUUCUCUUUAAUAAUUCACUAUUCUUUCAAACAUUCAUUAGUUUUUCAAACAUAAAAUUUAUAAAUAAUUAUUUUUACCUACAUUUUGAAUGAUGCAAUUUCUAACUAUACACUAAAAUACUCCAUUUAUCAAUUUAAUUUAAUUCAAAGAAUUAUGAUAAUAAUUGAAAUUUCAAAAAAGGAAAAAAACUAGAUAAUUGAAUAUUUAUAUACAAAAAUAAAACAAACAAGACAGACUUAAGCUUUCUUACCCCAAAGACAAGAUCUUUAUUCAAAAUGCAAAACUAGCAAAAUACUCCCUAAAAUUCAUCUAAACACAUCUUCUAAAGAUGUAAUACCCAAGAAGAUUGCCCACAGUUGGUGAUGCACUUCCCAACGAAAGAAAACCAAACUCCUCGCCAAUAUGGAUUUAUGUAAAGGAUAGCAACAAUUGUUAACAACAUAACUACAUAAGAAGCCAAAAAGCUCACACAAAAAACAUAUGUGUCUAGAAAACUAUCUUCUCUUUCAUCAUCUGAUAUUGUUGAUAUUGAACCGGUUUUGGAGCAACUUAUAUGAAGUAUAGGUCCACAGAGAAAAGGGUUCCCCUCGUAACUGCUUUCAAUGAAAGUCCCAAAUUGGUUUUGUUCUGGAAUACUACCUGACAAGUUGUUGUGUGCAACACUGAAAACCCCCAGAGAGUUCAAAUCUACCAGCUGGUUUGGGAUUUCACCACUCAAGUUGUUGUAAGAAAGAUCCAAACUCUCAAUCUGCUUAAGUUUUGAGAAUGAUGAAGGUAUAACUCCGACCAACUUAUUGCGUGACAAGUUCAAAGAAUGGAUUUCACGCAAGUUCCCUAAUUCAAGUGGGAUUUGACCAGUUAACUCAUUGCAAGAUAAAUCAAUCCCAGACAUGUAUUCAAGGAUGUCGCCUCCAUAUGAGAAAGAUCCACUCUUUGUGGUAAACUCUACCGAUUCUUUCAUGUAGCUAUAGGAAUGCAUCAUGUGCUCGAAAAGUAUACCCGUCUUUAAUAGUUUCAAUUCAUCCAGUUCUGAAAAUGUUGGCGACAUUAAAUCUGGUGUCAUGGUCUUAUCCUUAUUCAUUGGAAGAGUUAAAUUUCCCAAACAAGAAGGUAUAGGACCGGAAAACCUAUUUUGAGAAAGAUCUAUAAUGCUCAAGGAAUACAAGGUGCAUAACUGGACUGGAAUUCUUCCCUGUAAAUGAUUAGCUUUCAAGAGAAGGACACUCAAAGAAGAAAGUGUGUCGAUCCAUUUUGGAAUACCACCAGUAAAAUUGUUUCCUCUAAGAUCUAAUGUCACUAGUGAAGUGCUUUUAUUAAAAGCAAGUGACAAUGGACCACCCAGUCUAUUAUUGUGCAGGUGGACAUGCUCUAGGUUUGGAGGAUUAAAACAAGAUGGUAUAGAGCCAGAUAAAUUAUUUUCAGAAAGAUCCAAAAAUUUGAAGUUAUUCAAGUUGCAAAAUUCCACUGGAAUAGAACCCUCGACACCAUUGUUAGACAAGUCUAAUCUCUCCAAAAGUGACAUAUUCCCUAUCCAUCUUGGAAGCUUUCCAUGCAAUCUGUUGUUACUGAGAUCAAUAUCUGUUAGUGAUGUUGGAAACUGAAAAGUAGAGACAUCAAAAUUUGUCAUCUCUCCAGAAAAAUUAUUUCCAUCCAAAUAUAAUUUUUGUAACCCAUUUGCAUUGAGAAUCACAGGAACUACAUUUCCAUUGAGGUUGUUGUUUGACAGUCUCAAAAGAAAUAGUGAGCUUUUCCUGACCAACUCUUGAGGUACUUUUCCAGCCAAUUGAUUGUUUGAUAGAUCUAACAUUGACAAAUUCUUCAUGGCGCUUAAACAAGGAGGGAUAUUGCCUUGAAAGGCAUUCUUGGAUAAGAAUAACUGCUCCAAAUGUGGAAAAGUUGAACAUAUAUUGGUUGGAAGCGGACCUUGUAUUUUGUUGUCAGACAUGUCGAUUGAAGAUACAUUUGAAUUAGGAGUCGACAGUAAUGUGAGAGGACCUGUAAAAGAAUUACCCUUCAAGAUGAGAUCUUCUAACUUUGUGUUGUUUUCUAACAACCAAAAUGGGACAGUUCCACUGAAAUUGUUCUGAGAAAGAUCCACAAAUCUCAAGUCAUUUUGGUAGUAAAGGAAGGUAGGAAGUUCAAGACUGAGUUGUUGAGAUGUUCUGCACUUGGACAAACUAAUGAAUUUCAAUUGGAAUUUCGGGACUAAGGUGUGGAAGGAAGGUUCCAUUUCCAACUUGUUUUCAUCAGCCAAGAGGACCUCAAGGUUUGGAAAGUUUGCAAGUGGUACGAAUGAAAUUGGAAUUUGAAAAUGAUUACUUGAAAGAGAAAUGGCUCUGAGUGAUGUAAGACUUGCUAAAGGAGUUAGAUUUCCGGAAAAUCGAUUGUUGGAGAUAUCUAACUCACGAAGAGAUGUCAAGUUACUGAAACAAUGAGGAAGCAUCCCCUCAAGUGCAUUCCAACUCACAUCCAACACUUCAAGGUUCCUUAGAUCACACCAUCCUGAAAAAUUUAUGAAAUCAUGGAAGAAUUUCUAAUUAAAUUUGGUUUUCUAAAACAGAAUAGGAGAAAUCAGAUAAAGAAAAGGUCGUAUAGAAAAUUUUACCGUGAUCAGGUAAGGAACCAAUAAGUGCACACCUAUAUAGAGACAAAGUUUGAAGAGAAGUGAAUACUCCAAUGCUUUGCAAAAUGUUGAUGUUGAGACGAGAAUAAUCGAGAUUUAUUUCCUCCAAGUUGCUUAAUUCUAAUCAAUGAAAAGAGGUAGUAGGUGUUAAUGAAACGUAAGUUGUUUUGGAAUAGAAGAAGUAUUAGAUGUUAAUCAAGAAAAGGUGUUUACCUGAUGAGAAAGCCUCUACUAAGUUUUCUAGCGGAAUGCUAUCGUCGGUGACAAUACUUUGGAGACGAAGAACUUUUAACUUUUUCAAUCCCUUGUUUUCUGUGAGCGAAAAUAUUUUGAUAAAAAUUGUGAAAACUUCAACAUGAUUGCACUAAUUGUUUUUCUUUUCUUUCUAGCAUUUUAAGAUAAAUAAUGUGUAAAAUAGAAUUUUCCUUUAUUGAGAUCAUUAUAUUACUUUAAAUUUAUCACCACUAAAUAGAAAAUUAUUAUUAAAUCAAAGUUUUAAAUUUAUUAUUACUUAAAUGUUGUUUAUGCUGGGUGAUUUUGAUGAGAAUAAUUUAUUAUAUAAAAAUAAAAGUAUAUUUCUUAAAGUAAAAUAAGAGAAAUAUUUUAAAUUUUUUUGAAAGUGUUUAUAUACAUAUUACACUUAAUCACUCUUUUGAAAAUUCUAAUUACUCUUUUAAAUUUUAUGUUAAUUUUAAAAAGUAUAUAUAAUUUCAACAGAAAUAUUACUUUAAUAUUAAAAUGAAGAGCUUUUGUGGGUAAAAAAAAUUAUAUGAGUUUAUUUAAUUACAAAAAUAAUUUAAGAAUUUAUUUAAAAAAUAUGUAGUUGUUUUAGGCUCGAUCCUAGGGGUUAUUUGAGAGUGCGGUCGCCCAGGGCUGGAAGGGGCCCAAUUUUUUUUUCAGAUUUUAAUAUGGGAAAAUAUUCAGACUAAAAUAAAUAAAUAAAUUGCCUAGAGCUUUCAAAUUUUCACCAUAAAUACUUCAUCUCCUAUGGCUAAAAAAUUUUUCAGCUUUUAUUGUAUUACAUUUUAUAAUAUUUUUAAAAAGACUCGUUUAAAGACUUUUUUAAGUAUAUUAACCUAUUUUAAAAUUCCACAUUUUUAAAAUGUCUUAAUUUUCAAAUUAAAGUACAAACACACUAUAAUCCACAAGCCUUAAUUGCCAUGUCAACAUAAACCACCAUUUAGAAGAUUGUUUUCAUUUUUUAAAAAAUAAAAAAAAAUUAUUUAAAUGAUACCUUUGUGGACCACAAAGCCUCUCAAUUGAUUCCCACUCAUAUCUAGUUUCUGUAAGUUAGUAAAUGCAUCCAAAUCUGGGAAAGAAACAGAUAAGCUUCAUUAAAUCAUUCCAAAACAUGAUUAAUAUUUUUGUCUAUAGAGGCAUAAUUUGUCAAAAAAUAAUAAUUUUACCUUUCAUAUCUAUUAAUCCAUUCAAUUGAUUGAAACCUAUGCUCAAAGAUUUCAGAUUUGAAAGCUUGUUUAGAGUUGCAAAUACACUGUUAUUGAAGAGAUUUGCUUCUAAAUUAAGCUCUUCUAAAUGGGUUAACUCCAAUUUCUUACCUUCAUCUACAAAAGAUUUAACGUAAUUUCAUCAAUGAAAAAAAUGAUAUAAAUUUAAUUAUGUGUAAUAAAUUAUUUAACUGAACCCUAAAUUGUGGGUUAAUGGUUCAAGUGUUCGAAUUAUCAUUGUGUAAAAAAAACAAACUUAAUUAACGGACCAAAAUAUAAAUACAUACCUUUGAAGGAUUGAAAGUUUACCAUUUGAUUCCACCUUAAAUCCAACGUCUUCAAAAUUUUCAAAUUAUUCAAUCCUAUAUAUACUCAAGUUGAACAAAUAUUUUAAUAACUUGGCUGAAGUGAAAAGGGUAAAAGUAAGGAAGUUGAAAAAUCCCCAAAAGUGAAAGUACUAAUUUGAAACAAAUAAUUAUAAAGGGUCCUACAUAAGUAAGGACUUUAUGCUUGAAAGCCUUCAAGGAAGGAAAAUGUGUGGUUUCCAUGGGAUCUAAUUAUAAUCCUUGUUUGCUGGAUUCCACCUUUUUUAUUUGGCCAACAAAAAAUAAAUAAAUAAUAUAAAAAAAUUGUGAUUACUAAGGCUUCAACCUUGAAGUUUAAAUAGAAUUAUUCAAUCCCAAAAAUUGACCAAAAAUUUCCCUCAAACAAAACUUAACUUUAAAGUAGAAACAAAACCAGAGAAAGGCAAUCUACCUUGAAUAUGAGGCCACUUUCCUUCUAAUAGGUUGUAAGCUAGAUUUAAAUAUUGGAGAGAUGAAAAUUGGCUCAAAGAUAAUAUAAAGCUAUCAUUCAGAUGAUUUUGACUUAAGUCAAGGAACUGCAGAUUUCUGAAUGUGGAUGAUAGCUUUUCAAAACCUGCAGAGUUAAUAAUAACAAGUAAUCGCAAAAUUAACAGUAAGUUGUGUUGAAAAUAUGUGUACAUAAUAGAGUAACUAAAGAUGAAAUGAAGGGCAAAUCAAAUAUAGAACCUUCAUUUUCAACACAACCGGCUAUGCCACUCCCUGUCAAAUAAAGCCUCUUUAAUUCCUUGAAGGGAAGAAACAAAGAGGCAUUCAGAUACCAAUAAUCCAAGUAUCCGGACCUCAUAGAAUCAAGAGAGAGUCCAAUGAGUCUCCCAGUGGUGGUGUUGCACUCAAUCCCUUUCCAUUUACAACAAUCUGAACCUUUAACCUCGUCCCAGCUGUCGAACUCAUUAUAGUGAUUGAAGAAAGGUUUGAGUUGCAAGAGAGCAACUCUCUCAUGCUCCACACAAGCAUCAAUAGUGCACCACCUGCAUCCUUCUAACAGUAGCAGCACACUCAUCACUGCCAUCCUCAUAAACCACAACCAUUUGGAGUCCAUCAUCUCUCUGUUUUUGCUUCUCUCUCAAUUGUAUGCUACUUCAAACUUCUAUUGCAUUAGCCUUCAUGAAACUUGUUAUUUAAAGACAAGGACCUAAGGCUGAAGGCAACCCACUAGUCCACGCUGAAAUAGUCCACUGAAUGUGACGAUAUAUAGGCCCUACAAAGUGUGGUUGUGGAAAUAAUCUAAACACCUAUCCUCCAAAUUAAUACUAUUCCUUGAGAAAUUAUUAAAGGUCAAUUUCUGGUUUUAGUCCCUACGCAAAAUUCAUUUUGAAGGUUUAGUUUUUAUAUAAUUUAAGAUCAAAUUUUUAUAAUUAAAUUAUCAUUUACGUCUGCUUUAAAAUUAUGAAAAAAAUAUUUUAAAAAUAUAACGAACUCCAGCUACAGCUUCAAAAUAUGAUGAAGAUGUUUUAGUAGAAUAAAUCGCAGAAUCCGCCAUCUUUGACUUUUGUUUUCUUAUUGUGAGAAUAUCUUAACAUUAUAACUUUUGAAUAUAUUUUGUUAUUUCAGUUAUUAAUUUAGAUCAUAUACAAAUUUCUUUCGUGAUAGUCUCAUUUAGAUUUGAAGUUUGUUGUUGGAUUUGAAGUUACAGGAAAAUAUGUUGAAAAUUUGGGUUUAAUAUUAAAUAAAAUGGGUUGGUAAAAUCUAUUAAUGUUAGUGGCGUUUUCCCACAAAUGCCACUAUAGAACAUGAUCUUUAGCUGCGCUUUUACUACAAACAUUGCUAAAAAACAUGAUUUUUUGUGGUACUUCUAGCUAUAAAUGCCACAACAUGCUUGACUCUUUUAUAGUGUUUUUCCAAAUGAACGCCGCAAAUUUUAGCGGCGCUAUCUAAAGCGACUUUUUACUGGCACUUAUCAAAGCGCCGCAAUCUGUUUUAGCGGCACUUAUAAGCACCGCCAUAGGGCCAAAAAAACACCGCUAAAAACCUAUUUUGCUGUAGUGAUUUACGCAUUUAUAAGCCUACAAAAUAAUCACGGAUUCAAUUUUAGAGUCCGUUAUCAGCCCCUAAUCGGGACAUCAAAUUGACCAAAAAGGGCCCACAUGACCUACCUGUUCAACUUGUGUAAUUGCACACGCCUAAGUGCUCCACACGGCCUGGCACACGGCCAACUACACAUCAAUGUGGUGCACAUGAACUUGUGACGCAGAGUAGCUUUGAAAAUUGUAACCUCCCAAACCCGGCCUAGAUGUUAUGACUAGAUUGAGAAGGCUACAAUAGCCACCGAAAUGGCUAAGCUAACUUACGUUACUUUUGAAGACCUUAAAUAAACUCAUUUUAGAGAAAACCGUAGUUGUACUUUGAGUUAGCUUAAAAGCAUUCAUUCAUUAGGUCGUGUAUACUUAGGAUUCAUUUUAUUGUUGAUAGUGUUGUUUUACAAAAAUAGUUUGCUUAUCGCUCUUCUUUUAAAAAAAACUCGAUGGUAAACUAAUGUGCGGAAAAACCAUUUUUCAAGUCAUUUUGGAAACUUAGUUGCCUUAACGAUUUGUUUUUCAGAAACAAUUCCUUUUUAAUGCAGCGGAAACUAGGGAACAAUAUCAAAUUUUACUUAAGCUCGAUAUCAUGCAUUAUUCAGUUAUUAUGCUUGAGUAAUCCAUGCAUGCAAAAAUCCCAAAAGAAAAGUUACUAAGCCACAAACCACAAGUCAUUAAAAAUUACAAACCAAAACUAAUAGAAUCUGAUUAAUACUUUUUAAAAAUAGUCCGAGGUCCAAGGUGAUUCUUCGAAUGCCAAGUCCGAUCCUAAUUUUGAGGUUUACACAUUCAUUUGACAUACUCAGCACGUCCUCAAUAAUCACAUACUUUUAGUAAAUGAAAACAAUGUUCCAAACUUUCAAAUUACCAUUGUGUUGGUAUUAAUCAAUAUCGUUCAAUUUCGCAUACUUUAUGAAUUUUGAUUAUGCAUAAAUAGCACCCUAUACAACAUAUAUGUAUAUAAUAUAUGCCAAGAAAAUUUAGAAAUACAAUAAAUCAACCUAAAUGAAAUCAUUCAUCAUCAUUUUUCAAGAUUUUAAAUUAUAUUUUCUCAUUCCCAUUGUCAGUGUAUUUCAACUUGUAAACAAAGAUGAUGGCUACUAUAAAUGGAAUCAUUGAUAUAUCAUGAUAUUUGAAUUUGACAACUAUUUUUAUACAUUUUAUUACCAAAAGUAAGGGUAUUAAUUUUUUAAUGUUUAAUUGUGGUUUAGAGUUAAUUUAUUUAAAGUUAAUUGUUAAUAUUAUUAAAUUCAAAUUUUCGUAAUUGUAUUAAUAGAAUAAAUUUAGUGUUAAAAGUGAGUUUAUUCAAUUUUAUAUUUAAUUUGUUAAAUGUAAUCUAAUGAUUUUUUUGUGCUCUAGUGUUGAUUUAAUUAAAGUUAAUUAUUAAUAUUAUUAGGUAACUAUGAGUUCUCAUCAAAUUAAUCCUAAAAUUCAAAUUAAAUGCUAAAAAAUUAACAUUAUUACUUUUAAAUAUCAAAAUGUAUAAAUUUUAUUAAAUAUAGAUACUAAAUCAAACAAAAAUUAUAAAUUUUGAGUCGUUGCAAAUUUUUCCAACAUUUUUGGGGUCUUGAAUUUGAUAUGCAAAAAGUUGGUGGGAAUUUUAAGUCAGCAAAUCCUUUAAAAGGGCAAUGACAUAAUUAAUUGCAUUACUUUAAUGGUUGAAUUUUCAUAGCUAAUAUGUAUGCAAAAAGUUGGUGUGAAUUUUAAGUCAGCAAAUCCUUUAAAAGGACAAUGACAUAAUUAAUUGCAUUACUUUUCAAAGAUCGACUACUGACUUUGGUGAACUUAUUUAUAGAAGGUUAAAUUCUGCUGUUGGUCACUGUACUUUACGAAAGUUGUGAAUUUAGUCUCUAAACUUCAAUUUGAUCAAUUUUAGUCUCUAUACCUUUUGAAUUUUGAAAUUUUAGUUCUAACCCAAACAGUAGCAGUUAUCAAUUUGAUUAAAUUCUAUUACUAUCGAUUUAGUCCAAACUUUCUGAAUUUUGAAAUUUUAGUCUUGAUGCAAAUGACAAUCACUGGUCUAUUAAUUGGAUUUUUAGUAAAUAAUAUGUGAAAAUAACAAGUUUGUUGACACCAUUUUUUUGAUAAAAAUGGGGUCGACUUAGAUUUUGAAAAUAAAAACGAAAAUGGGAGUCGCCACCGAUCCUUUUUGAUAAGGUGUGAUCGGGUCACCUCAAAAAGUGAUUGUUUUUAAUAAGCGAUUUGAUUUUAUUAAAACAACGAUUUUAGUCCACGAAAUUUAAAAAAAUGGGUUCGGGAGUCGGUUACGUUCAAGGAAGGAUUAGCACCCUCGUAACGCCCAAAAUUGGUACCUAGUUGAUUAAUUAAUAUCUUAAUGUCGAGAAUUGAAAACUCGAAAAGAAUUUAAAAUACAAUCAUUCCUUUUUAUUAAUGUUAAAUUUAUAAACGAUGCUUGGAUAAAUCGAGGUGGAUGCUAAAGACCUUCUUGUCUCAGAGUAAAUAAAAUGUCAAUCCAGUACGUUAGGACACAACAUUUUAAAUCCUCGAGAACAAGCUUAUCUUUUUAUUUUCAAAACUCGUGCAUUUAAAUUUCAAAAGGAUAUUCGAUUAUUUGGAUCAAAGGAGAUAAAUCGAAACCCAGUGAGUUAGGGCACGAUCAUUCAAAUUUCCCAAAUACAGAAUAUCACUUUUAUUAUUUUUUUAGGAAAAUCCUCAUCUCGGGAAAACAACAUGUCAUAUCCAAUGCGUUAGGACACAACGUAUUAGAACCCAAUACGUUAGGGCUCAAUCUUCUCGAAGAUCCAAAAUACCGAGUAUUACCCUUAUUUUCAAAAUUUUCUCUUUAUUACGAAUUUGAGUAAAAAUUGUAAAUGACAGAAUAACAAUUAUGAUAAUGUAAAUAAAUAAAUAAAUGAAUAGAAUGAAAAAAAGUAAAAAAGACAUAUAUGUAUGUGCAUAUAUAUAUAUAUAAAUUAUAAAAAAUAUAUAUGAUAUUAUAAAAAUGUAUGCAUGUAUAUAUAUUAAAAGUAUAUGUAUAUGUGUAUUUCGAAAGUAUAAAGUAUAUAAGAUAUAUAUAUGUAUAUGUUUAUAAAUUAUAAAAUAUAAAACAUAUAAGUACGUAUAUAUAUAUAAAUGAAUCAUGAAAUGCACGUGUAUAUAUGUAUAUAUUAGAAAAUGUAUGAAUAUAUAACAAAAUUUGGAAUUAAGGAUGUAAAUGAGUGAAUAAUAAUAACAAUGAAUUAAAAUACAAAAUCAAUGAUGCCAUACAAUAGUAUUAAUAAUAUCAAAAUAAUUAAUUUAAUGAUAAAAUAACUAAAACAACAAAUAGAGGAUUAAAUUAGAAACUAAACUAAAAUUUGGGGUCAAAUAAAAAUAACUUAAAGAGGGUGACUCGGGACUAAAACAAAAUGCGCUGAAGGAGCAAGGGACUUCCAGGGAAAUAUUCCCUAGUCCUGAAACGCAGCACUUCAGCAAGGAUUAAAAUGAAAUCAGAAAAAAAUUUAUGGGCCAAAAUGAAAGAAACAAAAGGGACAAAUUGCACUGAACUAUAAAAGAGGAGGGGCUGAACGCGCAAAUAGCCCCUCCAGGCAUAACACGCGGAUCCUGACCGCAUUCGGGUCGGGUCUCGGAUCGGCUCCUGGGUUUUAUGCCAAACGGUGCUGUUUUGGCCAUGGAUGCUAAGGUCCAAAACGUCGCCGUUUUUAAACUAUAUAAACACUCAAAAAAUCAACAAAAAAAAAAUUCAUCCCUUAUUUUUUUCAAAAAAACUGAGAGUCUCCCUAACUCUCUCUCAACCCCCAUCCCUCAUAUUCGGCCGACGACCUUCUUAGGCCUCCGUCGCGCCACCUCGUAGCCGGAGGUCGGCGCCGGAAAUGAAAGGCCAUUAAACCCCUUUUGUGGAGUCCUUGAGAGCCAGGCUCUCUCAACCCGCGAGGAGUGAAACAAAAGGGGGACCCUCGACCUUGGCAGACCCGACUCAACGAUGGAGGAGAGAGCCUCUGGCGGCACAGUCACGGCCAACUCCAGUGAGUCACCCUUCCCUUUUUGUCCUUUCUUUUAGUACUAGUUUUAAAAUCAGAUUUUUUAAAAAAAUGAUAAAUAAAAUAAGUAAAUAAUUCAAAAAAAAAGAAUCGGAGAAGACAGCAACCUUUGUUUCUAUUUCUGAAAUUCGUAAAAAAAUGACAGACGAAGAAUACAAUGUUAAGAUUUUGGCCUUUAUAGCCGAUUUAAAAACCCCUAAAUUUUUAUUUUUUGUCGUUUUGUUGUUUGGCCUGUUCUGCUGUUGCGUGUGGUUUACUGCCUUGCAGGUGUCAGAGGCUGACGGUCGGUGAUAGGCGAGUAACGGCCUGCGUGAGGAGUGGCAGAGGAGGCAGAACAUGCGGCGCUGGGCAUUGGGCAGAGGCGUGCGGCGCUUUGGGGUUUGCUCUUGGCUGAAAUUGUUUAAGUUGUGGGGCAGUCGAGCCACUAGGGUUUUUUUUUAUUGGGACGUUUGGGCCAUUGUAAUUUUGGGUUUAAGUUUGCUGUAAAUGGACUGGAAUAGUUUUUAUUUUUUAGGCCCGGGCCAAAAUUGGGCCUUACAAAGUCGAUAUGACAUUACACAAAUGAUAAUAUGUUUGUCACACCAAAUUUUAGAGAUAGCAGAACUUAAUGAAUUUAACAAAUAUCGUUUACGGUGAUUGAAAUCUUAAAAUUUGAAAAGUACAAUAACUAAAAUAUCAAAUUAACUUAUAGGGAUUAAAUCCACAACUUCAAUAAAAUACAGGAAUUAAUGGUAGAAUUUAACCUUUAUAUAAUAAUUUCCUUGGUGAAAAAAACGCACAUUAUCAUUUCCUUGAAUGAACUUCAAUUUGUCCAUUGAGAUAUAAUCGGAGGGAGUGGAAUAUAUAUAAGAUAAUAUUUGAUGUAUUCGGUAAAUGGAGAAUAUUAAAUAGAGUGAGCAAGCCAUUCGCCUCACGGAACACAUUAACGAAAGACACAAGCUUAAUACAGUCACUAAAUCCAUCAAUUUCAUUAACAACCUGCUAAUAAUUCAAGACAAUUGUUGGGUCCGGAUGGAUUAUAUUUUAAAAUUUUCUUUCAAAAUACAGAAGUUCCUUUGACAAAAAUGAAAAUAUUAUUUAAUUAUAGGGUUAGUAAUUAGUACACUGAUAAUCUACUUAAUGCUAUUGAUUUUUUUUUAAUAUUAUACAACACCUUUAUAAAACACGUGUCAACCCUCUGACUCUGCUUAUGAAAUUUAAAAACUUCAAUGACAAUGUACCAACUAUUAUUCUUAAUUAUUAUACUAUUCAUGAUUUAAGGACAAAGAUCAAAUACAAUAUUUGCUUAAAAAUCUCUAAUAUAUAUGUAUAUAUAUAUAUAUAUAUAUAUAUACAUUUGCUCACUUAUUGUGAUGUAAUAUAGCACCAUCCAGCUAACCCUAGCUUUCUAGCAAGUAGUCGGAGGAAAUUAUUGAGAAAAUAUCAUUAAAUAUAUCAACAAUAAUUGCACUAACUUUCCGAUGUUAACUACUGACCUUUGCGUCAACCUUGAGCUUAUAUAGGCCCCCUACAAUAAUUUAGGCUAUGGAAAUAAUCUUACAAUUAAUGCCUGAGAAAUAAUUAUAGAUCAAUUUAUAGUUUUAAUCCCUAUAAUUACUCAAUUGAAUUAAAAAUUUUGUUAUUCUUAUUUAAUUUAAUUUGAUAUAUUCUGUUCCUCUUAUUAAUGUUAAUGUUUAGAGUCCCCGCUUGUACAUUGGUGAUUAGGUCUCUCACCAUUAAAUUAUUCUCUUAAGAACCUAACCUGCAAAUUCAUAACAUAAAAAAUUUACAGUCAAAUGUAAUCACACAAAUGACAUUCCUCACUUAAACAGAUUAAGUCGUUGCAAAUAUCUAAACAUAAUCAAAGUCGUCGUUAUGGCCCCAAGAGAAGGCACGUUAACUUGUCUCUCUCACACAUAGGAUGAAAUUAGUCUAAACCUAACCUUGGUAGAGCCGACCAUGUCGGGCAGACCACCCUACAUAAAUCUGAUUAUUUUAUCAUAGUUUAUUCAUCACUGAAGGAAGUAUGCAAAAUUAGGCAUACCAUUUAUCCUCACCUCUCUCGCUGACAAAAGAUUCAUGUUAAGUAUAUUCACCCUACAUAAAUUAUCAAGAGGAAUCACAGAUUUAAGGACCGUGGAAAAGAAUUCCAGAACCAGUUAUAUACAAGCAGGGCCUAUGACAUCCCCACUAAUUCUCAAUCAUAUAAAAUAAUAUAUAAUUAAUUCGUCUGGAAUGUUUAAGGCAUGGUGGUGAAUAUAUCAUGAGCGAUGUUGCUGAGUUUCUUCUGAAGAAUUGGCUAGCUAUUAGUGUCUAAAGGAUCUUUAGUUAUAUGGGGCUUAUGUUUCGGUUGCUUGAACAAUUGCUUUUCAGAGGGCAGAAUAGUAGAGGGGGGUUUUGGGGGUCUGGUGGUAUGGAGUUAUGAUGUUAUCAAUAUGAGAUUUUGGUGAUUUGUACUUGAUAAAGGGACACUUUUCGUGAGGGAUUGCUACAUUUUGCAGAUUAUAACAUUGUUUACAAGUGCUUAAAAUGUGUAAUAAUUUGAUCGAGAGAAAAAAUGACCAAAACAAAUGUUCUCAGCAUUUUUGCUUCAUUUAGAACUUGUAAUUAAUUUUUUUUAUCAGAGAAGUUGUAAUUAAUUGGAUUUGGAAUGAAUUGAUAAUAUCCUUACUAUUUCACCUUUUUUAUAUGUUUGGCGUGUGAGUAUGAUACAGAUUGAACUGGUUUUUAAAGUAGAAAUAAAACGAUAACAAACCAAAACAUUCUGGUUUUCAAAAUUUUGAAUCCAAAUCAAUCGAAUUAGUUUAAUUAUAAUUGAAUGUUUUAUGUGUUAUGAUGAUGAAGGAAGUUGAUGAGGUGACUUGCUUCAUCUUUCAAAAUAUGAGGUUCGUUUGAAGUUCUCUUUGACACAUCUUUACUAUUGUUUUUUAAUAACAAAUGAAAAGUCAAUUUAAAAAACAAAAAUCCAAACCAAUGAAUUUCUUUUAUACAUAUAAGAUAAGCUUACUGCAAAGCUCUUGUUUUUUCAAAAUAAAAUUUUGUUUUUGUUUUAUUAAUUUUGUAUGAAUCAAAUGAAGUUUAAUUUUUUUAAGGGUAAAUUAAACCAACAGUAACUCAACUUUGAUGCAGCUGACAAAAUAGUUGAUUUGGUUUCAAUUCAGUCACUCAACUUUCAAAAAAUAACAAAUCAGUCACUAACGUUACCAAAAAGUGACAAAUCAAUCACCCAUUAACAUUUUCCGUUACAGACCUAACGGGACAGGUGACAUGGCUAGUUAACUUGCCACGUUGACAUGGCAAUGCAUUUAAAAUUGGUCUAAUUAAGAAUUUGGUCAUUGUACAUUAUGAAAACAUAAAAAUUAUUUCAAUUGAGUAUCAAUAUUAAAUCUUGUCCAUUGACCCAAAAAUCAUCAUUUCAACAAAUUGUAUGUAAGAAAUUAGUGAAAAUCAACAAUUCAGUAAUUUAUAUCAAAAUUGAGGACUAGCUUUUCAUUUUUUUGUAAAUUACAUGGAUGACAUUCACAAUUAGACCUAAAUAGUGACAAAUUACAAAUUUAAACCCUAAAUACCUUUGUUCAGAGGAUCCGUAGCCAACAGAAUCAAUAAAACCGAUGGAGAUGAAACUCAUGCAUUUGGCGUGAAGAUGAAACUGGACAGAGUAGAACUCGCAUUGUUCGUCACCGUUGCAGGUGUCACAGUCACACGAGAAUCGCAUCGACAUGGCGCGUCGGCUAGUGAGAGGGAUUAGAUCAAGUCGAUGGGCAAUGAACUUGUCGUUGACGACGGAAGAGUUAACUUCAAUUUUGACGAGGUCGAUGGCUAUGUUGGGAACCUCGGCUAUCAUGACACGAUGGAGGGCAUUGGCCAUGGAGGCGUUGGUGUCAUGGCAGCAUAGUUGUCUUUGAGUUCUCGGAUUUUGACCCUUGGGAAUCGCUAGUAUGAAGCUCCUUCCAUUUUCUCUUCUUCUCCAUUUCUUCUCUUCUUCUUCUUCUUCUUCUUCUUCUACUGCCCAAGGCUCUUAAAUGGGGUUGUUUAAAUGACAGCUAGCCUACCGUUAAAUGUCAUGUCACUUUUCUGUUACAAACGUAACGGAAAAUGGUUAAAAAGAUUGAUUUGUUAUUUUUCAAAAAUUAAGUGAUUGAAUUGGAACUAGAGUGACUGUUUUGUCAAUUGCAUCAAAGUUGAGUGAUUGUUGUUGCAAUUUACCCCUUUUUUUUUAAUAGAGAUAAGCUUUGUGGUGGAAAUUUGUUAGGAAAGGAUGAUUGUAGGAAUGGUCCACAAAAUUAAUUGCAUUCCCUUUUCUUGAUGAAUUCUUAUCUUUGGGUCAACUCUUAGCUUAAAUACACUGCUAAAUUUAUUUUAGGUUGUACAAUAUAAAUGGAGCAAUUGAUGUCAGGAGAUAAGUUGGAAGUACAAUUAAAUUUUUUCAUAAGAGGAGAUGGGAUGAGAAGAUUUGAACCCAACAAUUAUUGGAAUUUAGAUUAUAAAAUUGGCGUGAAAUCAUGAAUUUAGAUUAUAAAAUUCUUUCCAUUUUAAUAAUCAUUUUAGAACUAGUUUGGUUUCCAAUCUAUAUUUUGUGUUGUGUUUUGUUUAUGUCAAAUUUUAAAGUAAAACUUUGAAAGUUAAAAUACAUUCUAAGUCCCUAUACACUUUGUACUUUUAGAAUUUAGUUCUCCUAGUUUUUAUUUUUAUGAAUUUAGUCUUUCUAUUUUUUGGUUUUCAAAAUUCAAGUCCCCAAUUAUUUUCACUGUUAAAAUUCUUCUAUUAAACUCACUAGUGUCACCUUUUGAAAUUACCAAAAAAAAAAUCAUUUUGUAGUCAUGUAAUAAUAAAGAAUAACGUUAAAAAUAAUGAUGUGGAUUUUUAUUUAAAAUACUCAUCCAAACUGAUCAUGAUAAAAUGACUUUUUUUUUUGUUGGAAUAGUGUUUUUAAGAAAAAUUGACGUCAAUAUUUUGAUUGGAAUAGUUUACAAUGUUAAUUAUUUAGACUAACUAAUGACAUUACAAAAAUAAAAUAAUGAAAUUAUGCCAAAAAUUAAGGAAUAUAAAUUAAAUCUCAAGUUUUAACAUAAUAUAGGGGCUAAUACUAAAAUUUGACCAUUAAUUUCCAUGUAAUAUAAAAUAAAAAUAAAAAAGUUGUGUGAAGCAGCCCAAGCUUAUGACAGAAAAAAAAAAACACGGCCCAAAGCUAAGGUUACGUGUUAGAAAGGGAAUGUCAUGAUAGGGGUGAGUAUUCGAUCAAGUCGAGUUAAAUUGAGUCAAAAAAGUUUAAGUUAGUCGAGUUUACGAAUCCUAUUUUAGUAACCGAACUCAAUUUGAAUUUUUUUUCUGAAUCAUAUUGAGUCAAAAAGUUUCGAGUCAAGUUGAGUCGAGCUAAAGAAUCCUAUUAUUUAUACUCAAAACUUAUAUUUACAUGGACCGAUUAUUUAACUAGUAGAUGAAGUACAAGAUUAUUUAACUACAUAAACAAUAUAAUGGUUUUGCCUUUUAACUUAAUGAGUAAAUAUUUAUCAAAACGAUAUAGUUUUGUCUUUUAAUUUAAUAGUUUUGACUUUUAACUUUGGAAAAGAUAAAUUCAGAUUUUCAGAUAACUCGAAUUGUGUAAUUCAUAUUCAAGUUGAAUAUAAAAACUUAAUUUUUUUAUUCGGGUUGAUCCGAAUAACUUGAUUAACUCAAAUAACUCGAACUAUUUAAUUCAAAAUUUAAAAUUUUUAUCAAAAUUUUCAGAUCAAAUCGAAUUUUGCUCACCCCUAGUAUUGGACAUUAUUUUUAUAUACGGGUGUAUAUAUAUGUGUGCGUGUGUGUGUUUGAUGUGAUUUCCUUGUGAGUUCCAUCUAUUUUUAGAAGUUUUUCCACGUAAAAUAUGUGUAUUUAAUAUUUUCAAUUCUUUUAUUAUUCUACUUGCUCGUUGCAAAUACGUUUGAUUCACAACAUUUUAACCUAAACUUAAUUGUAAAUGAUAAGAGAUAUUUUACGAUUAAAUAAAAAAAUUUAAACCACUAAACCAUUACCCUAAUAUGUCAAAACACAUGCAUUUUUUAAUUUCAAAAUUUAUGAAUUCCGAAGUAAAGAGCAUACGAUAUUUAUAUUAAUGUAAGAAAUGUAGGCUUGCUAAGUUUCGCAAAAUCAUAUUACACUUUUAAUUGAAUAUAAUGGUGGGAUGAUUCAAUUAUUAAAAACUAAGUUCGGGCAAAAAUGUAAAAAUAAUCUAAAAUUAAUUGAAUUAUUAUAAUAAAUUUAUAUAACUUAUGGAGUGAACCAAAUCAUGACAUAAUAUCAAAAAUAAUUAAGACAUGUCAUAUUACAAAUAAUAAAAACUCAACUUUAUAAGCAUAUCAAAAUUUAUUAUCAUGGCGUAUAAUAUGUUAUGAAAAAAGAAAAAAGAAAAAAGAAAAAAGAAAAAGAAGAGAGACAAUCGCUUCAUCAUGAGAUAUAAGCCCUUGAAACCAAAAGUUAGUUGAAGCUGUUAGGAUCGACUCAAUUAAGCAACAAGUAACAAAAAAUAGUGGAGUAAAUUGAGAAAUUGAACACACAAAUUUAACGUGGAAAACCCCUCCAAAGAGGAUAAAAACCACGGGCAAAAAUAAUUUUACUAUAAUGACAAAAGAAUGAAGAGUACAAAAGAUGGAGAUAAAAAGCUAAACCCCAAAAAACCCCAAAAACAAAGAACCCUCAAAACGUAAACACAAUGUAACGCCCCAGAAUUUUUAUUUUUGUUCUUGCAAAGGUAUAACACAAUUGUGUAUCUACUUUAGUGGUUAAGUGUUUUGGGUGUAUGAGAGGUCUCAAGUUCAAGCCAAGACUUGGCGAAAUUUUGGUAUUUUUAUGAAUAAGCUCUAUCUUUGGUCAGUAGGCUUUUAAGUAAGAGUCGACAAAUAAUUAAAAGAAUGAGCUUGUUCGUUUGGUGGAUAAGUGGAGUGUUGGUGUGAAGGAGGUUUUGUGUUCAAUUCUCUAUGGUGGCAUGGAGAUAGUAUUUUUGCUCCAAUUUUGGCUAAGAGUUGUGUUUGGGCAAAAUUCUGAGUAGUUGUGUUUUAGUGGGUUAAUAGGGAGUGAUUUUUGGAAAUAAUGGGGGAGAGGUUAUCAGAAAAUAAUCUGAUUGUCUUUUUAUUGCAUAAAAAAAGUAGAGUUUCGGUUUUCUCUCCAAUUACCCAAACUUUUUCUGACGUUUUCUUCUUUUUUUUCCCUCCGCUGUCGAUUCUUUCCCCUAGUUGUUGCCAAAAUUUCCAUUAUUUUUUCCCCUUCCAUUUCUUUCUUUUAUUUUCCAAUUGAUUUGGUUGUUUAUCGUUGGUUGCGUGUGUUCGGUAAGUAACGGUUUUGUCUAUUGUUAAUUGUUCUUAGUUAAUCUCUGAAAGGGGGAUUCCUUUUUGGUGUUUCGGAGUUAAUCAAGGGGCUAGUGGUUAUGAAUCGAUGCUGUGAUUGUGUGAAGUCAUGAUUACUCAAGCGAGGUAAGGGUUUUGUUAGGUUUUUAGUUGAGUUCCUUCCAAAAUUGGUUAAUUAAAAAUGAAUUAAGUGAUUAAUCUGGAGAUUUGUUGGUCGAUUUUUAGGUUAUGGAGGCUUAGGAGUGCUUACGCAUUAGAAAUGAUACCAGGUGUGUACCCGAAAAGCAGAAAAUGAGAUUCGGCGAAAAGCAUAAAUUGCUUGCUAUUUGGACAGCAGCAGUGGGCUAACUUUAAAAAAUCAUCAUAAAUUGUGAAAAUUGAAUUAAAGGAUGAAAAAAGUAUGGAAUUAAAUAUUAUUGAGUCUAGUUUCUCAUAGAGAAAUGGUGUAAGUAAUGGAAUUGUAAAUCGUGAGAUAUAAUAAAUUUUGUGAGACAAGGUCAGAAUGAAUUCAGGUUUCCCUUUUUUGACUUUGGAAAAUCAUUAAAAAUUGUAUAAAAAUGAUUAUGGGUUAAAAUUUAUAUGAUUAAAAUUCUUAAUGAGUAUAUUUUCAAGAGAAACAAACCUUAACAUCAUCUGAAUCUCGUACUAAGAGAUAAUUAAUUUUUAGAGAAGAAGGGUCGAAAUUAUCAGACAGCAGAACAGGGACAAUUUUGAAGAAUUAACUGUACUCAUUGGCUAAACCAAAAAUUCUAAAAAUUUUAAGGUAAGAAGAUAUGUGAGUCUGUUUUUCGGGAAAAUCAAGCGGAUCUUAAUUUUGAAUUCUGUAGCUCUAGUUAUAAAUAAUUUAGUGACAAUGACUCAAGUAGACAACUCUGAAUGAUCAUAUUAGUAAAUAGUGGAAACAUAUAUGAAUAUUUAGCUAGCAUGGGUUACAUUAAAAAUGGAUCACACGGCCAAGGCCAAUUUGGGCCGAGUGGGCCACGCGGGCACAUGGGCGUGUGGGUCCAUUUUUACCAAAAUGUUUCUAAGGCUGCACAGGUUGCCCAAGUCGACUGUGAACCUACUGUAAGGUCGGUAAGUGCUACUUAAACCCCUAAAUGUGUGAAAUUGACUGAAUGAUAUUUGUACUGAGCAUGUUAAUAUCUAAACUGAAUAUAUGUACUGAAAUUGCAUAAUAGCAUAUCAUCCAUGGUAUGUUGCAUUGCAUUGGGUUGAGGGUUGUUAUUUGGAGGAAAUGUACUAAAAGGCUUUAAGCCUAAUUUACUGGAAUCUUAGCUACAAACUACUGUUUUGUGCCGCAAUAUUCAAUACUACUUGAAGUGUAGGAAUGGGUGGGUUGAUUAUAUCCCCACAUGGUGUGUAGAGGCUGGUUGGCAAAUGGAGUUUUAGUAAGCACAAGCAUCGUCAUCUGUCCAUCAUAACUUGGAAGACAACAAAGAUACUCAUAAAAUAGAUCUGCAAACUGAAAAGAGAGAAGUCAUGUGGAGUGAAUAAGAAGAAGAAAGAAAAAAAGGUUGGUGGGAGGAAGAAAAAGGGUCGCGAUAGCCAAUCCGAAGGUUGUCAAUGCCAUUGGGCAAAAUAAAACAUAAUAAACAAACGGCUUGGAGAAAAAAAUUAAGAAAGAAGAAAAAAUUUAGGCAAAAUUUAUAUUAAUGUAAGAAAUGUAGACUUAUUAUGAUAUUACAUUUUUUAGUGUGAUCAUUCAAUUAUUAAAAAUGUAUUUAUAACAAAUUAUGUAAAAUUUUAUAUAAGCAUAUAAUAUGUUAUGCAAAGAGAAUCACUUUUCUUAGUUGAAUUGUUAUAACACAUUAUACAAAAUAUAUUUUAAAUUAAAGCAUAAUGUGAAUACGAUACCAACCAACAAAUUAAAUUCGAUGAUUUAUGGAUAAUUACAUUUAUUACUCAAUUUAAUUUAAUUCAAAGAGCUAUUGAAUACACAUAACAAUUAAUUAUGAUUAAACUUUAAAUUUCACAGAAAAUAAAAAGAAAUAGAUUGUUGAAAAUGAUAAAAUGGAAAGAUAAAGCUACAAACUUCCUCCCCACAAACCUAAGAGCUUUUUAUUCAAAAUGCAGAAAUCAACAAAAUAGUCCUCACAAUCCAACUUAGCAUAGUAAAACAAUUAGGUGGGGAAAUCAAAUAGUAAAUUCCUUUUUCCUUGAAUCAACACCAACCGACUUUGUUGAAAUCUUCACUAUAGCUAAUCACAUUGCCUGAAGAUGUGAUAUGUAAGAAAAUUGGCCAUUGUUGAGUAACGACAGGUUGUGAUGCACUUUCCAAUAAAAGAAAACCAAACACUUCGCCAAUAAGGAUUUAUGUAAAGAACAACAAAAAUUGUCAAGACCACAACUAUAUAAGAAACCAGGAAGCUCACACAAAAAUCAUAUGUGUCUAGCAAACUGUCCUCUCCUUCAUCAUCUAACGAAUUUGAUCUAGUUGAUGGUGCAUCUGGUUUGGAGCAACUUUUAUGCAAAAUAGUUCCACAAAGAAAAGGGUUUCCCUCGUAACUACUUUCAAUAAAGGUCCCAAAUUGAGCUUUUGGUUCAGGAAUACUACCUGACAAGUUGUUGUGUGCCACACUAAAAACUUCCAAAGAGUUCAACUCUACCAACUGAUUGGGGAUUUCACCACUCAAGUUGUUGUAAGAAAGGUCCAAACUCUCAAUUUGAUGAAGUUUUGAGAAUGAUGAAGGUAUAACUCCGAUCAACUUAUUGUGUGACAAGUUUAAAGAAUAGAUUUCACUUAAGUUCCCUAAUUCUGGUGGGAUAUGACCAGUUAAGUUGUUGCAAGAUAAAUCAAUCCCGGUCAUAUAUGCAAGGAUGUUGCCCUCGUACGAAUACAACCCACUCUUUGUUGUGAACUCUAUUACUUCUUCUAAAUUCUAUUACUUCUUCUAAGUAGCUGUCAGGGUAGUAAGGAUUUAUAUCCCUUUCCAAUUUUCUCAUCGCAAUGGAUGUUGAUUCAUCCUUUUCUGUAAAUGGAAGAUAGAACCCAGUUGCUAGACUCUCUUUCUCUUUCAUUGGAAGAGAUAAAUUUCCCAAACAAGAAGGUAUAGGACCAGAAAACAUAUUUUGAGAAAGAUCUAUGAUGCUUAAAGAAUACAACUUGCAUAACUGAAUUGGAACUUUGCCAUGAAAAUGAUUAUCUUUCAAGAGAAGAACACUCAAAGAAGAAAGUGUGUCAAUCCAUUUUGGCAUGCUACCUGUCAAAUUUUUUUCUCUAAGAUCUAAAGUCACUAGUGAAGAGCUAUUAUAAAAAGCAAGUGAUAGUGGACCUCUCAGUCUAUUCCCGUGGAGGUGGACAUGCUUUAUGUUUGGUGGAUUAAAACAUGACGGUAUAGAGCCAGAUAAAUUAUUUUGAGAAAGAUCCAAAAACUCCAACCAAUUCAAGUUGCAAAAUUCCAUUGGAAUAGAACCCUCGAAACCAUUGUUGGACAAAGCCAAUCUCAAUAAAAAUGAUGCAUUCCCUAUCCAUCUUGGGAGCUUUCCAUGCAACUGGUUGUUACUGAGAUCAAUAUCGCUUAGUGAAUUUGGAAACUCAAAAGUAGACACAUCAACAUUUGUCACCUCUCCUGAAAAUUUAUUUCCAUCCAAAUAUAAAUUCUGCAGCCCAUUUGCUUUGAGAAUCGCAGGAACUACAUUUCCACUGAAGUUGUUAUUUGAUAGUCUCAAAAUGGUCAGUGAGCCUUUCGUGAUCAACUCUUCUGGUACUUUUCCAUACAAUUGAUUGUUUGAUAGAUCUAAAAUUGAUAAAUCCUUCAUGCCACUUAAACAAAGUGGGAUAUUACCUUCAAAAGCAUUCUUGGAUAAGAAUAACCGACUCAAAUGUGGAAAAGUUGAACAUAUACUGGUCGGAAUUUGACCUUGUAUUUUGUUUUCAGAGAUGUCAAUUGAAGAUACAUUAGAAAUAAGAGCUGACGAAAAUGAGAGAGGACCUGUAAAAGAAUUGCCCUUCAAGAUGAGAUCUUCUAACUUUGUGUUGUUUUCUAACAACCAAGUUGGGACCGUUCCACUGAAAUUGUUAUGAGAAAGAUCCACAUAUCUCAAGUCAUAUUGGUAGUAAAGGAAGGUAGGAAGCUUACGACUGAGCUGUUGAGAUGUUAUGCACUUUGACAAACUGAUGACUUCCAAUUGGAACUUUGGGAUUGAGGUAUAAAAGGAAGGUUCCGUUACCAUCUUGUUUUCAUUACUCAAGAGGGCUUUGAUAUUUGAAAGGUUUGCAAAUGGUGCGAAUGACAACGGAAUUUGAAAAUGGUUUCUUGAAAUAUCUAACACACGAAGAGCUGUCAAGUUACUAAAACAAUGAGGAAGCAUCCCCUCCAGUGCAUUCCCACUCACAUCCAAUACUUCAAGAUUCCUUAGAUCACACCAUCCUGAAAAAUUGAAAAAAUUGGUGGAAGAAAUUCUAAUUAAAUUUGGUCUUAUUUAAGAGAAUAUGAGAUAUUACACAAAGCUCAUACAAAAUUCAAUUUGAGCCAUAAAUUUAUUUACCUUGAUUAGGUAGGGGACCAAUAAGUCAACAAUCAUAUAAAGAUAAUGUUUUAAGAGAAACAAGUACUCCAAUGCUUUGCAAAAUAUUGGUGUUGAGAGUAGAAUAGUCAAGAUAUAUUUCCUCCACAUUUCUCGACACAUUUGAUUCUAAGCAAUGUCUAGAGAUAUUAGAUAACGAUAUUGUAAAUAGAAAAUUAUAAUUGAUCAUGAGAAAGAAGUUCAUAUUGACGAGAAAUGCCGAGGACAGCAAUCGCCAUCCCAUGUCAAAAAAAUCAUUUGAGAUAAAUAAUGUUUGAUUUUCUCAGUCUUUUAUUUUUUGUGAAUGAAAAGAAAUAUAAUUUACUUGAAGUUUUUUUAAUUAUUCGAAAAUGCCAUUUAUUUAUUUUAGGCCAAAAAAUUCCAUUUAUUUAACUGUAAUAUAUAUUUUUAUGUUUUAUAUUAUUAAAACCAUAUGAAAUUAAAAUGAUAGUUAUAUGACAUAUUUUUCCAUAAAUAUGAGUAUUUUUUAUUUAUAAUAUUAUUUUUUUAUUUUUAUAAUUAUUUUUUAUCUCAUAAAAAUUUAAUAAAUUAUUUUGAAAUUAUAUUUAUACAAACAAAAUAAUUAUGAACUCUAAUAUUUUAAAAUUAUGCAAAAUUUAAAAUAUUUUACUUUCAAACCGAAGACCAUAGGAUUUAUAAAAUGUUUCACCGAACCCAUAAGCUGAAUUUUUCCAUGUAUGAUAUAAAACAUAAAGACAAGGAUGAGCAACACAAAGACAGAAAAUUAUUAUUUGGUAGUUUGUUGAUUUACUUUAAGGAUUUAGCAGUUUCAAUCAUGUUCCUGUUAUGCUUUGAUUUUAUUUAGGUUCAUCCAUGUAAAACAAAGAAACAAAAACAUUAAUUAGUUGAAAAAUAAUUAAUUGUGUUAUAACAUAAUCCAAACCUUGUAUUAACAAAUAUUCUGUUUUUUAACCUUUUUCAACGAUGAAGUGGGGAGCACCGAUUCAGGGGCCAAGCAACAACUUUGUAUUGGAGGAUCGAUAUAAAAUUAUUUUUUUUGGAGGGACUAAAGUUAAAAUUAUUUGUGUUAAAAUUGUUGAAAUUGAAUUUUUAAUGUUUAAAGUGACUCAAAAUGCAAUUUUUAUGCAUAUAAUUAAAAAGCUACAGAGGAUUAUAUUGAAUAAUUAAAUUUUAAAAGGACUAAAAAGGGUAUUAUACCCUUGAUUAAAAUAUGUCAUAGGUCCUUGUACUUUUCAAAAAUUUGUAAUUUAGUCGAUAUACUUUUAUUUCUAAGGAUUUAGGCCCUCUACAUUUUCAAAUUUUAGAAUUUAAGUUCAAUUGUUAACAUUAGUUUUUUUUCCAAUGUUUUGAAAUAAAGAAAAUAUUCAAUUGGUAGCAAUGUAACUAAAAAAAUAGCAUUAUAAUGAACCUAAAUUUAACAAAAUAAUCUUAAUAGUGUCAACAAUUAAACUUAAAUUUUAAAAUCUAAAAAGUAGAGGGAUUAAAUUCGUAAAAAUAAAAAUAUAGAGACUAAUUUACAAAGAGUAUAAGGAUUUAUGUUAUAUUUUAACCUAUACCCGUUAGCCUAGGGGGGCCAAGACCUCUGUCUACCCCUUUGGCUUUUCCUCUACACCAAUUGAACAUUAGUUUAAUUGACAUUGUUGAUAUUGCAACAACUCUUUUUCUUUAUUUUCUUCAUCUUAUGAAAAAUGUUAAUUUUUAGUUUUGGACAUUUUUAAUAUGCUUAAAUUUGAGAUUUAAUUAUUAUCCUUUAUUUCUAAUUUAAAUUAAGCUUUAUAUUUUUAUAAUUUUACUAGUUAGUUCAAAUAGUUAAUUCAUUAACUUUUCAAUUAAAAUAUUAUGUAGUUAUAUAUUAUUUAAAAGUGGAUUUUUAAAUAGAUUAAAUUCUUAAAAAUAAAAGUUGAAGGAAAAAAAAUAAAAUUUAAACAAAAACGAAAGUUUAGUCAAAUGAUACCUUUAUGGAUCAUAAAAUCUAUCAAUUCAUUUGCCCUCAUAUUCAAAUGCAUCCAAAUCUGGAAAAAAAAGGGUAACAUAUAAACCUCAUUAUAUUAUCUUAAAACAUUAUUAAUGUUUUUGUUAAUUGAGUCAAGAUUUUGGGAAAAGAAAAUGUUUUUACCUUUUGCAUCUAUUGGUCCUUUCAAUUGAUUGCUUAUGGUCAAAGUUUUCAAAUUCAAAAGCUUGUUAAGAGAUGCAAAGACACUAUUAUUGAAGAGAUUGGAAUUUAAAUUAAGCUCUUUUAAGUGCGUCAAUUCCGAUUUUCUACCACCAUCUGCAAAAGAUUUACAUAAGUUCAUCACUGAAAAAAAUUAGCAUAAAAUUUAAUUAUAUAUAAAAACUUAGAUAACUCAUCAAAUAUAAAUACAUACCUUUGGAGGAUUGAAGGCUUUCAAUUUGAUUCUCGCUUAGAUCAAGUUUCUUCAAGUUUAUCAAAUUACUCAAUCCUAUAUAUUUUCACGUCCAAUUCAAAUAAUUAUGUUAAUAAUUUAAUUUUUACCGAAUAUUUGAAUGAGUUUCAUAAAAUAAAAACAAAAAAUUGGUUUGUUAGGCAAUUUUUUUAGGUGUUGUAGAAAUUUUAAGUUCCUCCAAGUUUAUUAUGCUUAAUUGUUUUUCAUCUAUAGUAGGAAGAAGAAUAGUUUCUAAUUAAUAUUAUAGGCUUUGAAUAUUUUAUAAGUUCAUCCCUUUGAAAAUUUAAUUUAUUCAAUAUAUAAAAAUCAUACUUGUACCUUUGUUUGAGAUGCUUUCAAUUCUGUUCCCACUUAAAUCCAAGUAGUUCAAGUCUGUCAAAUUAUUCAAUUCUGAAAUUCAAUCCUAAAUAUUGAUUAGUUAUAUAUAUUCAUGAUAUGAUAAAAUCAAAUAACAUAUUGCAAGUUUGCAACAACUUUUCCUUCAACAUAAAUUGAUUUUAAAGUACAAAAGAAACAAGUAAAAUCAAUCUACCUUGAAUAUGAAGCAGCCUUCCUUCCAACUGAUUACUACUCAAUCUUAAAGUCUUCAAGGAUGAAAGAUUUCUCAUAUCGAAUAGAAUGCUAUUCUUCCAAGAAUUCCCACUUAAAUUAAGAGUUUCCAAUUUAGUGAGUCUUGAAAGCCACUGAAAACCUGAUUUAUAUACUAUAUAAUUAGUUACUACUAAACAUAAUAAAUAAUAAUACUCUAAUUUUACAAUAAAAAUUUACUAAAAUCUGUCAUUGCCUGUUGGAAUAAUAGUCUAUCAGAAAAGUCAUGCACAAAUACUUAUACCUUGGUUUGAGAUGCUUUCAAUGUUGUUGUAACUUAAAUCCAAGUACUUCAAGUUUGUCAAAUUAUUCCAUUCUGAUGAAAUUCAAUCCCAAUGUUGAUCAGUUAUGUUUUCAUGAUAAGAUAAAAGCAAAUGAAAUAUUGCUAUAGCUUUUUCUUAAACCAAAUUGAUUUUAAAGUAAAAGGAAGCAUGUAAAAUAAGUCUACCUUGAAUAUGAAAUAAUAUAUAAAUACUAUAUUUAUACCUUUGUUUGAGAUGCUUUCAAUUUUGUUCCCACUUAAAUCCAAGGACUUCAAGUUUGUCAAAUUAUUCAAUUCUAAAAUUCAAUCCCAAAUGUUGAUCAGUUAUAUUUUCAGGACAAGAUAAAAGCAAAUGACAUAUUGCAAUAACUUUUCCUUAAACCAAAUUGAUUUUAAAGUAAAAAAGAAACAGGUAAAACCAAUCUACCUUGAGUAUGAAUCAACUUUCCUUCCAAAAGAUUGUAUCUCAAACUUAAAGUCUUCAAGGAUGAAAGAUUUCUCAUAUAGACCAUAUUGCUAUUCUUCAAAGAAUUCCCACUUAAAUAAAGAGUUUCCAAUUUAGUGAGCCUUGAAAGCCACUGAAAACCUGAUUUAUAUACCAUAUAAUAAGUUACUGCAAAACAUAAAUAAAUAAUAAUACUCCAUUUUUUAGUUAAUUUGAGUAAGUUCUUGUUAGUCUUUUUUUCAUCUCAACCAUAUGAAAAAUUAUUGAAGCAAAAACUAAGUUACAGGGGAUAAAAGAAUGGAAAAUCACUGUCAAACGUCACAAUACAAAUAAAAACUAACAAUAGACCAAACUUAAUUUACCUCUUGGAUGACUUGAUCCUUCGAACCGGUUGUGUGAUAAAUCUAAAUAUCGGAGAGACGAAAGCUCACUCAAAGAUAAUAGAAUGCUAUCAUUCAAGUGAUUGUAACUUAAGUAAAGGAUCUCUAAAUUACUUAAUGUGGGUGAUAGCUUUCCAAAACCUGUAGGAGUGUUCUUUUAAUUAUAUACAAGUAAUUAAUGACUUUUCUUCAGUAAAAUAAAAUAAAUUAUAAGUAAUUGCAAACUAACAAUGAAUAGAGAAAUAGAAUAAUAAAAUAUGUAAUUAAGGGAAAAUUAAAGGCACGACCUUCAUUUUCUAGGUUACCACCUAUGGCAUUCUCUGACAAAUAAAGACUCUUCAAUUUCUCAAAAGGAAGAAACAUAGAGGCAUUGAGAUACCAAUAAUCCAUGUUGUAUUCCCAUUUUGUAGAAUUAAGGGAGAGUUGUAUGACUCUCCUAGUGAUGGAGUUGCACUUAACUCUUUCCCAUUUACAGCAAUCUGAACCCUUCAGAUCAACCCAACUUUUCAAUGGGUUACCAUAAUUGAAGAAAGGUUUGAGAUGCAAGAGAGCGAUUCUCUCAUGCUCCAAACAAGCAUCAGUAGUACACCACCUACAUCCUUCUAACACCAACAACAGUACUGCCAUCCUAAUAAACCAUAACCAUUUCCACUCCAUCAUCAUCAUCUUUCUGUUUUCCCUUCUCUCUCAGCUAUAUGUUACUUUUUUAACUUCUAUAUGUAUAUAAUCUGCAGAAGCCUAAGCAGGACCUAUGCAUCCCACUAAUUCACUGUAGUAUUAAAAUAACAUAUAAUUAAUUAGUUCCUCAAAAAUUGAAUGAAUCUAGACUUGUGCUGCUCUAACUUAUACGUUAGGAAAUAAAUGUUGACACAAUUUUUUGUUUUAUUUAGAAGUUGUAGUUAACUAUAUUUGCUUGGAAUGAAACUGAAUUCAAAUCAAUCAAAUUAAUUAUAAUAAAAAAUAAAAUAUCAAAAAACUGUUCAAAAUAUGAGUUAUGUAGAAGCCCUGUUCGACAUAUUUUAACUUUUAUUCUUUAUAUAAAAAUGAGAGUUACAAUAAAUAGUAAAAAGAAAAUCUAAUCAAAUGCACUUUUCCAUAACAAAAUUAAUUGCAUUCCUUGUGGAAAAUGAACUCUUGACUUUGCCGACCAUCCUCGACUGAAAUAGGCUGCUAAUUUUAAUUUAGACUGUAGAAAAAAUUUUAACCCAAUUAAUGUCAUUUGAAAUUAAAAUUACUUUAUAAACCUUUUGUUAGCCCUUAAAUUAAUAAACCUUUGUAAAAAUAGUUAUUGUAGCUAAUUGAGUUUUAACUCAAUCGGUAUUGGUAUUGUUGUCAGUAAAAGAAGACGUAAGUUUAAGUGUGCAGAAACGUGUGUUUUCUCCUAUUUAAGGAUUAGGGUGGAUUAUGAAUAAUUCUUUGAAUUGUAUUAACUUAGAAGCUUUGAGAUACUCACAAUUGAAUUAAACAUUCAAUAUAUAUAUUUAUCUUAUUUUUUUUUCUAUUUCCGAUAAAUAAGAAAAGAUCAUUCUUUACGCCACCAUACGAUUUUAGUAUCACAAUCAAAUGAGACUUUUAAAAGUCUUAACACUAUACAAGUAGUUAGUCGACAAAACUUGCACUAAUUUACUCUUUACGCCGAAAUUAUUUACAAAGUGCAAACAACAUUACUUUCACACUAAUUUUUUCCUUCUAUUUAUGUGGGAUAAAUAUCAAAAUUAUAUAUGAAUUUUAAUUUAAUGUGUAAUAUUAUAUAUAAAUUUUGAUUUUGUGUAAUUUUAAAAUGAAAUUUUGAUUUGAUUUAAUUUUCACAAAUCAUUAACAACAUCAUCGAAUUAGUACUAUAUUACAUUGAUAUAUUGCAUGCACAAACAGGUAUACUAAACCAAUAUGAAAAUAAAUAUAUGUAUUCAUUUAUUUAAAUGUGUACAAUUGAAUCAAAAUAAAAGUUUCAUGUAUACAUAUGGAUCACAAUUCAAGUUUCAUACAUAUAAUUGUACCAAAUCAAAGUUCAUAUAUCAAAUUGCACAUUAAGCCAAAAUUUAUGUAUAAAUUUAAUAUUUAUCCCAUUUAUGGGAGAUUAGCUUUCCAAUGGUAUUGUUUUAUUUACAUUAAUCCAAAUAAUUGGAAAUGAUGAAUUAGUUUAACGAAGAUUGUAAUUCUAUUAAUGUUUCUUCUCGAAUUUUUGGUUGCUCUUAUUAGCAUGUUUUAUUAAUUGAUAGAUUUAAAUUCUUGGAAUAUAUUCUAAUUAAUUAGAUAUUUCCUUCCUUCCAAAAGCCUUUCAAAAUAGGUUUAGUUCGACCAAGAUACUCUUGUAGAAAAUUUUAGUUUUGUGGGAAAAAGAAAACUAGAUUUAUUUUUUACUCUAAUUGGUUUUAUAUGCAAGGUAUAUAAACUUUUGUGUCGCUGCAAUUUUUUUCCAACAUAUGUAUGUGAUUUGUGGGGUUUCAAUUUUGAAUUUUUUUUUACAAUUUAAUUAAAUUGUGAAAGUAUUUGAAAGUAUUUGAGUUGAUACAAUGUUUAGAACUACCCCAACACCCACCUAACCCUUAAAUAGGAGGAUAAACACGCUUCAGCACACUCGAACUCACAUCCUCCUACACCGAUGAUAAUACUAAUGCCAACAGAGUUAAGACUCAACCAGCCUUGAAUUUUGAAUUUUACUUCUUACACAUUUUGAAUUUUGAAAUUUUAGUUUUGACCCAAACAGUAGCAGUUAAAUCAAUUUGAUUAAAUUUAAUUACUAGUCCUAUAUUAUGCGUACGAUUAUUGAUUAGUCUAUACUCUCAAAUUGGGCAAUUCUAAGUACCUAUACUUUCCGAAUUUUGAAAUUUCAGUCUUGAUGCAAAUGACAAUUAUUAAUCCAUUAAUUUGAUUUUUAGUGAGUAAUAUGUGAAAAUAACAAACUGGUAUAACAUUACACAUAUGAUAAUAUGUUUAUUCCACCACAUUUGAAAAUAGCCGAAUUUAACAAAUAUUGUUAGUGAGGAUUGGAAAUUAGAGUCUAGCCCCCUACAAUAAUUUAGGUUAUGGAAAUAAUCUUGCAAAUAAUGCUUGAGACAUCAUUAUACAUCAAUUUAUAGUUUUAAUUCUUAUACUUACUCAAUUGGAAUAAAGAUUUAGUUUUUUAUUUUCUUUUAAUACAUUGUCUAGAAUCUUUAUUCCAAUUGAGUAAGUAUAAGAAUUAAAACUAUAAAUUGAUGUAUAAUGAUGUCUCAAGCAUUAAAAAUAACUAACUUCAUUAAAAAAUUCAUUAGUUGGCUCUCUAAGACUUAAAAAUUAAAAUUAUGUGGUUAUUAAAAAAGAAUUAUUUUUAUUAAAUUAUUAUUUAAAAUAAAUUUAUCUCAUCAUAAUGAUAUGAAUUUUUUUUCUUUAAAAAAUCCACAUUAACCGACUAAUAGAAUUGUAUAAAGCUGCCACCAAUCUCUUGGCAUGAUGGCAAAAGAUUCAGAGGCAAGCCAGAAAGUUUUUUGAGAGGAGUGAAUAAAGUUAUAUCUUUUUAUUAUAGUAAAAAUGAAAUUUUAUUAUUUUAAUAAUUUAUAUUUUUAUAAUUUUUAAAAGAUUAAAUAAAAUUUUUUUUUAUUUUUGAGGGGAUAAAGUAUAAGUUUAUCAUAUACUAAUUUAAAAAUUUUAAAAUUAUAAAAAGACUAAAGAUGAAAUUUUUCAUUUUAGGGAGAUGGGGCCCUGCCAGGUCCCUUGACUUCGCCUUGAUAAAAGUAUUAUGUUGCAAGUAUAAAGUUUGAGUUUAAUCUCGAACAAUCUCAUUUCUUAUCCCUAAUUAUAAAAUAAUAAAAUAAAUAGAGCAAUUGAUGUGAGGAGGCAAGUGUAAUAGGUCAAUUUUGACCUGGGCCAGAUUUCAAAACAAAACCCAAAUUAAAUAAUAAAAGAGUCCAAAAUAAUUAAAACAAUCCAUCCAUUUUACAAACAAACCCAAAUUAGCAGCCCAAAUACAAAUUAAAACUCAAUAACUCAAAACUAACCCUAGCCCAAUUAGCUCAACACUUAAACACAACAAAAAAACCCCUAGCCCCCUAAGCCUCCAACGCCGCAUGACCACCUGUGCCGCACGCCGCCGCCGCUCAAGGCUUGCCUAUCACCGACCAUCCACGCGUCUAACACUUGCAAAACCAAGGCAACAUGCAACAACAAAGGCCAAAUAGAGGAAACAACAAGGAAACAGACAAAAAAGGAAGAAACAAACAGUUUUGAUUUGGCUACAAAAGCCCGAAUCUCACCCUUGUAAUUUUUUCAAGAACAUUAGAAAAUAAAAAAACAAAAACAACACUUUCAAGGUGAAUUUCUACUUUUAUUUCUGUUUUAAAUACCUAUUUGAUUCUAUAUUCAUAUUUUUAUUUGAUUUUAUAUAUAUAAUAAAAUAAUAAAAUAAAAAAAGGAAGAAAGGGCUCACCGGAGACGCCCCGUGACCGCGCCGUCGGAGGGCUCUUCUCCAUUGUUGCCAUCGAAUCCGAGAGAGGGUCGGGAGUACUCCUCUUUUGUUUUUUUUGGGUCGAGAGGGCUGGGCUUCCAAGGGAGCUGUGAAACGGGGGCUAAAAACGACCUUUUGCGCAACGCCGGCCACCGGCCACAGGCCACAGCGGCGCUGCGGCGGCAACCCUGGCCUGCCAAGGGGUGGGCUGAGAGAGAGACCAAGAGAGACUGAGAGAGUUCUCUAUUUUUUUAGAAAAAUAAAAGUUGAACUGUUUUUUUCUUUUUCUUUUUGCUAUUUAUAUAGGGUAUAAAACUGCGUCGUUUUGGACUUAAGCAUCAGUGGCCAAAAUGACGCUGUUUUGCAUCAGACCCGAAAGCCAACCCGAAUGCAGUCAGGAUCCUAGCGCAUUUUAGCUUUGAGGAGCUAUUUGCAUAUUCAACCCUUCCGCUUUUGCAAUAUAGUGCAAUUUGGUCCUCGUUGUUUUUAUAUUUUGGCCGCAUAAUUUUCUGAUUGUUUUACUUUGGUUCGAGCUAAAACGCUACGCAUGGGGGCUGGGAAUAUUUGCCAGUCGGUCCCUCAUUCCUUAAGCACGCUCUAUUUCAGUCCCUAGGCUUUUUUUAUUUAUUUGCAAUUUGAACCCCAAAUUUUGGGUCGAUUUCAGUAUCAUCCUUAGUCCAUUUAAUUUAUUUGUUCAUUAUUAUUUUUUAUUUAAAAAGCUCUUUUAUUAUUAUUUGUUUUAAGUUUUUUAUUUAUCAUUUACUUUAAACUGUUUUACAUACUAUUUAUUUAAAAUUUUUUUAUAUUAUUCAUUUUAAACCAUUAUAUGUACAUUAUCUUUUAAAUUCUUAUAUACAUAUAUAUAUGUCGAAACCGUUUUUUUGAAAACAAAAAUUUUUAGUUUCGACUUAAAAAUAAAAACUGGAGUCGCCACCGAUCCUUGAUUGAGGUGUGACCGGCUCACCUUAAAAACAAUUUUGGUCUACGAGAUUUGAGAAAAUGAGUCCGGGAGUCAGUUACGCACGAGGAAGGAUUAGCACCCUCGUAACACCCAAAAUCGGUACCAAAUUGAUUCUUUAAUGCCUUGGUGUCGAAAAUUUGAAAAGAUUUUAAAAGGAAACUUUUUAUUUCAUGAAUGAAUCAAAAUAAUAAGACAUUCUUAUUUCAAAGAAAUAAAACACCACACCCAGUGAGUUAGGGCACAAUAUUUUUAAAUCUUCAAAAUACCCGAAUAUUACCUUUUGCUUUUGAAAAUUCUUAUUUCGAGAAGUCAAAAUAUCAGGACCAGUAAGUUAGGACCCAACAUUUUUGAACUCCCAAGAAUAAGCUUUUAUUUAAAAUUUACGAAUUUAUUGCAAAACAAAUACUUGGCUUUCUAAAUUCAUCGAAAAAUAAUCACGAUCCAGUCAGUUAGGACACGAUCUUUCUCGAGAAUCAUGAAUGCCAAAUAUUUUGGAAAUUUGUAAAAUAUGAUGAUUUUAAUGCCUUGACGAAGCCAAUAUAUAUUUUCUUUAAAAGCAUGAUAAAAUGUUAAUGCAUAACAUGAAACCAAUACUUUAAUUUAAAUCGUAUGUAUAUAUGUAUUUGCAAAUCGCGAAAAUAAAAUAAAUAUAAAUGUAUGGAUAUGUCAUGAAAAUAUGUGUGCAUUUAAAUAUAUGUAUAUAUGUACAAUAUGUAUAAAACCAUGAAAUAUAUAAAAUAAUAAAGAAAAAUGUGUACGUAUAUGUAACAGAGAAUGCAUGUAUGCUUUAAAUUAUAAGAUAUAGGAAAUAAAUAUGUUACAACAAUGUAUAUCUAUAUAAAAUAUAAAUGUAUAUAAAAGUAAGUAAAAGUUAUGCAAGUAGAAUAAUAAAAAAUAUAUAUAUGUAAGGUGCAUGGGUUUAUAAAAAUUAUUUUUAAGAAAAAAUGUAUGCAUAUAUUAUUGUAGAGAAUAAGCAUAUGUAUAUAUAUAGUAAUGGUAAUAAUAAUAAUGAUAAUAAUAAUAAAAAUGAUAAUAGUAAUAAUAAUAAUAAUAAUAAUAAUAAUAAUAAUAUAUGACAUAAUUAAUAAUAUAAAAAACAACAAAUUAAGGAUUAAAUUGGAAAUAAGCGAAGUUUUGAAACUAAAUUUAAAGAUGGGAAUUAAAUAAGGACCAAAUUAAGAUGCGCGCAACAGUAGGAGGAUCGAAAAGAUAAUUUGCCCAAACCUCCCAAAUGCUGCGCAGCAACAUGGACCAAAUUGAAACAGUAUUAAAACAUAUGGCCUAAUUUAAAAAAAUAAAAAGACGGAUUUAAACACCCCUCAUAAAACAGAGGACCAAAUGUGAAAUUGUCCCCUUUCACAGAAAUGCGCGGAUCCUUCCCCGGGUCGGGUCACCGCACGGGUCGUAGGGCUGAAACGGCGCCGUUUUUGUGCUUACCCUUCGGCCCAAAACAGUGCCGUUUUCGGUAAGCUAUAAAUACAAUGUUUUUUUUUAAAAAACUCAUUGUUCUUUCUAUUUCAAAAAAAAAACAAAAAAAAAAUUUCCUUUUCUCUCAAGCAGGCCCAAAAUCCGGCCAAACUCCGGCGAGUGGCCACUGCGCCGUUCACGGCGGCGGGGAGUAAAAAAUCUCGCCUUUUUUAAACUGUUUUUAGAUCCCGUUCAAUAGUCAAACUGCUUUGGCUCAAAAGGAUGACCCUUGGCCCCUUCUCCUCUCGGAUCCGACGUUCUUGAAGGAGGAGAGCCCUCCGACGGUGAACCCGCAAGGCAAAUCAGGUAAGCCCGUUCCCCUUUUACUUCUUAUUUAUUAUGCGUAAAAAAAACAAACAGAAAGAGCAAACAAGGAAAAAAAAAACCGAAUCUAAGGGAAAAAAAAACCUCCGUUUUGUAUUUUAUUUUUUCAAAUCUUUUUUCUUCGUAUUUUCCUCUCUAUUUUCGUAUGUCUUUACACUCAAGACCCCCCUUUUCAGAUCUCCCCCCACGGCUUUUAAAUAGUCGAAAAUAACAACAAAAUAAGCAACAAAAUCAUAUCUCCCUUCAAUAUUGGUUGCGAUUUUUGCUACUACUCUGCUAUUGCUGCGCCAUAUGCUUCUUUUUCGCAGGUGUGGUGGCUGUUGAGUGCGUGGGAGCGACAAGCGCGAUGUGCGGCGCUUGCGGAGGGGUGGUGCGCAGGGUGAUGCGGCGCUGAAGCAGAAAGGGCUAGGGUUUCUGGACUGGGCUAGGGUUAAUGUAAUUGGGCUAAAUUUUUGGGUUUAGUCUGUAGAUGGGUAAUUGGGUCUGCUAUGUUUUUAUUUUAUAUGGGCCCGGGCAGAAAAAUUGGGUAUUACAAUAUAUAUUAAAAAAAACUGUUGUAUGUUUCUUAUUUAUUUAUUUUAAACUGUUAUUAUUAUUCAUUUUAAGUUUUUAUAUACUGUUUAUUUGAAGCCUUUUAUUAUUUAUUUUUGAAUUGUUCUUAUAAAUUAUUUAAUUUAAAUUAUUAUUCUUUGAAUUUUUUUUUUUGCAUAUUAUUUUGUUUUGUUUUCUUUGAUUGUUAAUAUUAGUAUAAAAAAUGAUAUACAUUGUGUGACUAUUACCAUCAUGUGUACUAUAAUUAGUUUCUUCGUGUUUUCAUAUUAUUAUCACUCAUUAACAUAUAUAACAUUUUUUCAUAAAUUGUUAUUUUAUGUUCUAUGUUAUCAUUCCAUUUCACUUCAUCACUUUGAAAUUAAGUUGCCUUCAAUUUGUGUUUACCCAUAAUAAACCGUUCUAUUUUGUCACAAAUAAAACAAAUGCACCUCGUUCAAGCAUUGUACUCGCAAUUAUUCAAAAAAGAGAAAAAUUUUAAAAUAAGGCAAUAUUUCGCAUUUUGGAGAUUCGAGAAAUUGUACCCUAACUUACGAGGUUUCAAUUUUCUCAUUGAACCUAAAUAGCAAAAUAUCUUUCUAAUUUUCAAAAUUUACGAAUUCCAAUAAAGUUAAAGGCUAGCUUAUUCUCGAGGGUUUCAAGUGUCGUGUCCUAACUUACGGGAUGUGACAUUUAUUAUCUUGAGACGAGAGGAUCUUUGGCAUUUGUUUAGAUUUAUUCAAGCAAAUUCUUUUAAAUUGAAAUAGCGUUAACAAAAGGGGGAUUGUGUUUUAAAUUCUUUCGAAGUUUUUCAAUUUUUAAUAUUUAGACAUUAAUUAAUCAAUUGGGUACCAAUUUUGGGCGUGACGAGGAUGCUAAUCUUUCCUCGCAUGUAACUGAUUCCCGAAUCCGUUUUCUCAAAUUUCGCAGACCAAAAUCACUGUUUUGAUAAAUUAAAAUAUUUUAUUAAAACAACUAAAUUAUGAGAUGACCUAAUCACACCUCGUAAAAAAAAUAUUGGUGGCGACUCCCGUUUUAAUUUCCGUUUUCAAACCAACACCGACCCUUUUAAAAAAAAUGGUUUCAAUAUUAAGUUAUAAGUGAAUGAAUUAAAAAUAUGUGAAAAGUGUAAAUAAAGACUCUUCAAUCUCAUUUCCUCUAAUGCUCUUUUUUUUUUUAAUCAGAGAAGUUGUAAUUGACUGGAAUGAAAUUAAUAAUCGCCUUAUUAUUUCACUUUUUUUCUUCAUAUGUUUGGCGUCAGUACAGGUUGGACUGAUUUUAAAGUUGAAGUAAAACGAUAUCAAACAAAAACCAUUCUGGUUUUUAAAAUUAUGAGUCCAAAUCAAUCCAAUUAGUUUAACUAGAUUUUAAUGUCUUAUGUGUUAUGAUGAUGAAGCAAGUUGAUCAAGGGACUUGCUUCAUCUUUCAAAAUAUGAGUUGCUUAAGAGCCCUGUUUGACGCUUUUUUUUUUCUUAAAUUACAAACGAAAAGGUAUUUUUUAAAAAAAAAUUAACUUAAUGAAUUUUUUAUAGAUAUAAAUUUCCUGCAAAGUUAUUCUUUUUGAAAAAAUAUUUUUUUAAUUUUUUAUAUACCUUUUAAAUAGUUAAUGAAAAUAAGAGUUUUCAUUUCGAAAUGCAAAAGCCAAAAACAGUUUUUGACUACAAAAGCUGUGUGUUCUUCAUCACUUCUGCAGUGGAAAAACACUUCUGCAGUGUAAAAACACUUUUAACCCAAAACGGGUUUUCACCUAAGUAGAGAAUCCACCCUAAAAUUGUAAAUAGAAAAAGGAAGGACCAAACAUUGUUUCUACCCUGUUUUUGUCUCCUCUUUGAAAAUACUUUCCAAAAAGUUUUAUCAUUUUCUUUUUAUUAAGUUUUCUGUUGGAUCUUAUAGUCAAAUUCCUUUACAUCAUGUACGUUAAUUUGCUUCGCUCUGAUAAAUGUUAGAUAUAGGGUUAUCAGCUAAUUAGGAAAGACUGAUGAUAGUCACCCCUUACAUCCAAAAGCAAAGCUUUUUUCACAUGUGUAUGUAAGGUUGCUAAGCAAAUCUGAUGAGCCUUCACUGAUGUUUUAAGGUUUAAGUUGAUGUUCCUUUUCGGCAAAGAACAUUAUCGAGAUCACAGAAUUUUGAUCGCCUUUUGCUUGUUAUGUUAUUCGUUCUUAAACGAUUGCAUAAUCUUUACUGUGAUUGCAGGAUAUAGAGGAACUUUUGAAUUUCAUCGGUGUAACGAGUUUAGGACCUUGGCAUGUUCUUGCAAAUUUGAAGGAGCUUCUAAGGUCUGUCCAGUCUUCAGAAUAUAUAGAUACCUGAAUUAAUUUUGAUUUUGUAGGAUCAACUAUAAUUAGCUACUUAUUACAGUAUGAAUAGACAACCUGACCUUCUUCACACACGACACAUGUGCGGAUUUUUUUACCAAUCCCAUUUCAUUAAAGAAAAAAAAGAGCUUUAAAAAAGGAUCACACUUUUUUGUUGUUUACAGAAUCAUAAUGUUAAUUAGAGUGGAAUAUUUCAGAUUUCUGAUAAUGAGUAUAUUAUUGAGUAUUGCAGUAAAAAAAUGGGUGUGCAACUUAUUUGAACUUUGAAUGUAUGUUUUGUUGGUGAGAAUAUAAAGUUGAUAAAGAUUUGGUAAAUAGAAUAAAAUACUAUUUUUUAUUAGAAAAAAUAUUUGGUACACUGCCAAUCGAGUUAUAAUUAUCAUGACACAAUAUUAAGGGUAAUUAAAACAUGUCAUAUUACAAAUAAUAAAAUUAUAAUGACUCAAAUCUGCAAACAUGUCAAAAUUUACGUACAAUGAAUUAUUAACAUGUAAAUGUAUAAUAUGGUAUGCAAAAAUAAGAUCAUUGCUUGUUUUUUAAAUUGAAUUGUUAUAACAUAUUGUACAAAAUACAUUGUGAAUUAAGGCAUAAUAUGAACAUGAUAUCAAAAUAUUAAAUUUUUUUAAAAUUCGAUGAUAUGAAUAAUUAUGUAAAAUAUAACAUGAUACAAAAUAACUUGAAAGGAAAAGAGGAAUAAAGAAUUGCAUUGUUUUUGAGGUUUUAAAAUAUUUCAGUUUUAGAUUCAUUUUUCUAGUAUGUUUGGUUUAAUUUUACAUUAGAUUUCCUUUACAGUAUGCACUAGUGAACGCUUAGUAUUCAAUUUAAUUUAAUUCAAAGAGAUAUUGCAUAUACAUAAUAAUGGAUUAUGAUUUUACAUUAAAUUUCAUAGAAGAAAAAAGAAAUAGAUGGUUGAAAAUGAUAAAAUCAUAAGAUAAAAGAGCUUUUAUUUAAAAUUCAAAAAUCAACAAAAUAUUCAUUAUCGCUCAACUUAGCAUAAUUAAACAUUUAGGUGUGAAAAUCAAAUUACAAUUUGAGUAGCUAAACACAUUGCUUGAAAAUGUGAUAAGUAAGAAAAUUGCCCACAUUUGAGUAGCGACAGGUGGUGAUGCAUUUCCCAAUGAGAGAAAACCAAACUCUUCGCCAGUAUGGAUUUAUGUAGAGGACAACAAAAAUUGUCAACAACACAACUACAUAAGAAACCAAAAAGCUCACACAAAAAUCAUAAGUACCUAUCAAACCAUCUUCUCCUUUAUCUUCUGAUACAGUUGAUAUCGUUGAUGGUGAAUCGGUUUUGGAACAACUUUUAUGCAAUAUAGCUCCACAAAGAAAAAGAUUUCCCUCAUAACUGUUUUCAAUAAAGGUCCCAAAUUGAGCUUUUGGUUCGGGAAUACUACCUGACAAGUUGUUGUAUGCCACGCUGAAAACCUCCAAAGAGUUCAACUCUACCAACUGGUUGGGGAUUUCACCACUCAAAUUGUUGUAAGAAAGGUCCAAACUCUCAAUUUGAUGAAGUUUUGCUAAUGAUGAGGGUAUAACUCCUGUCAACUUAUUAUGCGACAAGUUUAAAGAAUAGAUUUCACUUAAGUUCCCUAAUUCUGGUGGGAUAUGACCAGUUAAGUUGUUGCAAGAUAAAUCAAUCCCGGUCAUAUAUAUAAGGAUGUUUCCCUCGUACGAUAAGAACCCACUCUUUGUUGUGAACUCUAUUACUUCUUCUAAGUAGCCUUCAGGAUAGUAAUAAUUUCCAAGAGCUCCCAAUGUUUUCGCUAAUCCAUCCCCUGUUAACCUUGGUCUAAUUUUCGAAUCAGUUAGAAUCUUAUUUGUUUCCGUUGAAAGGGUUAAAUUUCCCAAACAAGAAGGUAUAAUACCAGAAAACAUAUUUUGAGAAAGAUCUAUGAUGUUUAAAGAAUCCAACUUGCAUAACUGAACUGGAACUUCACCAUGAAAAUGAUUAUCUUUCAAGAGAAGAACACUCAAUGAAGAAAGUGUGCCAAUCCAUUUUGGAAUACUACCAGUCAAAUUGUUUCCUCUAAGAUCUAACGUAACCAGUGAAGAGAUAUUAUAAAAAGCGAUUGGUAGUGGGCCACUUAGUCUACUCCCGUGCAGGUGGACAUGCUUUAUGUUUAGGGUAUUAAAGCAGGACGGUAUAGAGCCAAAUAAAUUGUUUUCAGAGAGAUCCAAAAAUUCCAAGCGAUUCAAGUUGCAAAAUUCCAUUGGAAUAGAACCCUCGAAACCAUUUUGGGACAAAGCUAAUCUCUCCAAAAAUGACACAUUCCCCAUCCAUCUUGGGAGGUUUCCAUAAAACUUGUUAUUUCUGAGAUUGAUUUCCCUUAGUGAAGUUGGAAACUCAGAAAUAGAGACAUCAACAUUUGCCAUCUCCCCAGAAAAAUUAUUUCCAUCCAAAUAUAAUUUUGACAGCCCAUUUGCAUUGAGAAUCACAGGAAGCACAUGUCCACUGAGGUUGUUGUUUGAUAGUCUCAAAAUGGUCAACGAGUUUUUUGUGAUUAACUCUUCAGGUACUCUUCCAGACAAUUGAUUGUUUGAUAAAUCUAAAAUCGAUAAAUCCUUCAUGCCACUCAAACAAGGAGGGAUAUCACCUUCGAAGGCAUUCUUGGAUAAGAACAAUAGGCUCAAAUGUGGAAAAGGUGAACACACGUUGGCUGGAAUCUGACCUUGCAAUUUGUUUUGGGAUAUGUCAAUUAAAGACACUUUAGAGUUAGGAGCUGACGGUAAUGAGAGAGGACCGGUAAAUGAAUUACCCUUCAAGAUGAGAUCUUCUAACUUUGUGUUGUUUUCUAACAACCAAGUUGGGACUGUUCCGCUGAAAUUGUUAUGAGAAAGAUCCACAUAUCUCAAGUCAUAUUGGUAGUAAAGGAAGGUAGGAAGCUUACAACUGAGCUGUUGAGAUGUUAUGCACUUUGGCAAACUAAUGACUUCCAAUUGGAACUUUGGGAUUGAGGUAUAAAAGGAAGGUUCCGUUACCAUCUUGUUUUCAUUACUCAAGAGGGCUUUGAGGUUUGAAAGGUUUGCAAAUGGUGCGAAUGACAACGGAAUUUGAAAAUGGUUUCCUGAAAUAUCUAACUCACGAAGAGAUGUCAAGUUACUGAAACAAUGAGGAAGCNNNNNNNNNNNNNNNNNNNNNNNNNNNNNNNNNNNNNNNNNNNNNNNNNNNNNNNNNNNNNNNNNNNNNNNNNNNNNNNNNNNNNNNNNNNNNNNNNNNNNNNNNNNNNNNNNNNNNNNNNNNNNNNNNNNNNNNNNNNNNNNNNNNNNNNNNNNNNNNNNNNNNNNNNNNNNNNNNNNNNNNNNNNNNNNNNNNNNNNNNNNNNNNNNNNNNNNNNNNNNNNNNNNNNNNNNNNNNNNNNNNNNNNNNNNNNNNNNNNNNNNNNNNNNNNNNNNNNNNNNNNNNNNNNNNNNNNNNNNNNNNNNNNNNNNNNNNNNNNNNNNNNUAAUUCUAAAGGAUGAGAAGAGGUAUUAGAUGUUAAUCAAACGUAAUCUGUUUUGGAAAAGAAAAUCAUGUUCAGAUAAUGGUAUUGUAGAUAAAAGGUUUUAACUGAUGAGAAAGCCUCCACUAAAUUUUGUAAUGGAAUGCUUCCAUCGGUGAAAACGUGAUCAAGAGACACAACUUUCAAAUUUCUCAAUCCCUUAUUUUCUGUAAGUGAAAGAAAUAUAUAAAUAUUUGUUUUCAUGAAUAAGAUAAAAGUUUAAUAGAGAAUGUCCAAAUCUUAACAUAACUAUUCAUUCAUUUUAUUAAUUAAUAAACUAAUCCUUUUUAGUCAUUCUAAGAUANNNNNNNNNNNNNNNNNNNNNNNNNNNNNNNNNNNNNNNNNNNNNNNNNNNNNNNNNNNNNNNNNNNNNNNNNNNNNNNNNNNNNNNNNNNNNNNNNNNNCAAGUUCUUUUAUUUUAAAAUGUCAACACCAAUAAAUUAUUUUUUUUUUAAAAAUAACAAUGUUAACAAUUGAACUUGGAUUUUAAAAUUUAAAAAAUAGAGGGAUCAAAUUCCCGAAAAUAAAAAUACAAGAAUUAAAUUACAAAUUUGUAAAGAGUACAUAGACCUAUCACAUUUUUUUUAACCAAAAAAUUAACAACAUGUGCAUUUUGAAAUAUAUAAAAAGUUAAAAAAAAAAGAAGUUUAAGCACCUCAAAAUGUAUGUUUAAAUUUCAUAAAAUUGAAGUUUUUUUUAUAUUAUUCAAAAUUGACAUUUAUUUAUUUUUGGCCAAAAAAUGCCAUUUAUUUAACUCUAAUAUGUAUUAAAAAUAUAUGAAAUUAAAAUAUAGUUAUAUUACAUAUUUUCCCAUAAAUAUAUGUAUUUUUACUUAUAAUAUCAUUUUUAUUGUUAUAAUUAUUUUUUAUCUCAUAAAAAUUCAAUAAAUUAUUUAAAAAAUAUAGUUAUACAAACAAAAUAAUUAUAAACAUUAAUAUUUAAAAAUUAUGAAAAAUUUAAAGAAUUUUAGUUUCAAACCAAAGUCGAAACACAUUAUAAUGGAGGGUUUAGAAAAUGUUUCACCAAACCCAUAUUUUACUUUCAAGUAUGAUAUGAUAUAACUUUAUUAAUAUUUAUGACAAUAACUGUUAUUAUAAUAUCUGAGAUCAAAACUAAAUUUCUAAAUUAAAAAAGAAAAGGAAAUUUAAUUAAAUGAUACCUUGGUGGAUCACAAAAUCUCUCAAUUCAUUAUAGCUCAUAUCUAGUUCCCUUAAUUUGAUAAAUGCUUCCAAAUCUAGGAAAACAAAAACAACAAAUUAAUCAACUCCAUUAUAUUCUCUUAAAACAUUAUUAUAUUCUUGUUAAAAAACUAAUAUUUUUACCUUUCAUAUCUAUUGAUCCUUUCAAUUGAUUGACCCUUAUGCUCAACGAUUUCAAAUUUGAAAGCUUGUUAAGGGAUGCAAAUGCACUAGUAUUGAAGAGAUUUCCAUCUAAAUUAAGCUCUUCCAAGUGGGUCAACUCCAAUUUUCUACCACCAUCUACAAAAGAUUUAUAUAAUUUCAUCACUGAAAUGAAUUGGCAUAAAAUUUAAUUAUAUGUAAGAAUUUAGGUAAUUGGUUAAAUAUAAAUGCAUACCUUUUAAGGAUUGAAAGCUUUCAAUUUGAUUCCAACUUAAAUCGAGUUUCUUCAAAUUCGUUAAAUUACUCAAUCCUAUACAUAUCCUCGUCCAAUUUAAAAAAUCAUUAUGUUAAUAAUUUUAAUUUCUACUUAAUAUUUUAAUGAAAUAAAAAUGAAAAAAAAGUAAAUCUAAAACUUGGAAUGAAGAUGAAAAUCCUCAAACGUGAAAUGUGAAUGUUCAAAAUUGAAACAAUUAAUUUUAAAAGGUUCUAGAAAGAAUUAUCAAGAAAAACAAAGUUAUAGCUUUAGUACCUUUAGUAUCUAAUGAACCUUGCAAAUGGUUGUAGUACAAAGUCAAAGACUUUAGGCUUGAAAGCCCUUGAAGAAAGGAAAUUGUGUUGUUCCGAAAGAGAUUAUCACUCAAGUCAAGUUCCUCCAAGUUUGUUAACCUCAGUAGUGUUCCAUCUAUCAUUGGAAGAAAAUAAUGAGUAUAGUUAAUAUCAUUCAAGAUAUAAAUAGUUAGGAAAAAUGAUUGUUUGAGAAGGAAGAGCCAGUUUACAAGCUUUCCCAUGAAUUGAUAACUACAUUUUACAAGUAAAACUUAAUUGAUUCAAUAUAUAAAUACUUUGUUUGAGAUACCUUCCUACUUUAAUUACUCAAUCCCAAAUAUUGAUUACUUAUAUAUAUUCAUGAUAUGAUAAAAGCAAAUGACUUAUUAAUUGCAACAGCUUUUCCUUCAACAUGAAUUUAAUGCUAUUCUUCAAAUAAUUCCAACUUAUAUCAAUAAUCUCCAAUCUAAUGAGCCAUUGAAAACCUGAUUUAUAUAUUAUAUAAUUAGUUACUACAAAACAUAAAUAAAUAAUAAUACUCCAUUUUUGCAAUAAAAAUUCACUAAAGAAAAUACAUUUGAAGUUUGUCAUUGCCUUUUGGAAUAAGAGUCGGUCAAGAAAGUUUGUUAGGCUUAAUUGUGUUCCAUCUAUGAUUGGAAGAAAAUAAUGAGUAUAGUUAAUAUCAUUCAAGAUAUAAAUAGUUAGGAAAAAUGAUUGUUUGAGAAGGAAGAGCCAAUUUAGAAGCUUUCCCAUGAAUUGAUAACUACAUUUUACAAGUAAAACUAAUUGAUUCAAUAUAUAAAUACUUUGUUUGAGAUACCUUCCUUCUUAAUUUAUUCAAUUUUGAAAUUCAAUCCCAAAUAUUGAUUACUUAUAUAUAUUCAUGAUAUGACAUAUUGCAACAACUUUUCCUUCAACAUGAAUUUAUUUUAAAGAAUGCUAUUCUUCAAACAAAUCCAACUUAUAUCAAUAAUUUCCAAUUUAAUGAGCCACUGAAAACCUGAUUUAUAUAUUAUAUUAUUAGUUACUACAAAACAUAAAUAAAUAACAAUACUCCAUUUUUGCAAUAAAAAUUCACUAAAGAAAAUACAUUUGAAGUUUGUCAUUGUCUUUUGAAAUAAGAGUCGGUCAAGAAAGUUAUGCACAAAUACUUAUACCUUUGUUUGAGAUGCUUUCAAUGUUGUUGUCACUUAAAUCCAAGUACUUCAAGUUUGUCAAAUUAUUCAAUCCUGAAAUUCAAUCCCAAAUAUUGAUUAGCUAUAUAUAUUCAUCGUAUGAUAAAAUCAAACUUGAACAUACAUUGAUUUUUAAAGUUAAAAAGAAACAGGCAAAAUCAGUCUACCGUGAAUAUGAUCCAGCCUUCCUUUCAACUGAUUAGCGCUCAAUCUUAAAGUCUUCAAGGAUGAAAUAUUUCUCAUAUGGAACAGAAUGGUAUUCUUCAAAGAAUUCCCACUUAAAUCAAGAGUUUCCAAGUUAUUGAGUCUUGAAAGCAAUUGAAAACCUGAUAUAUAUAUAUAUGUAUAUAUAAUUACUUGUUAAUUGUUUUCUUCUUUCUUCGCUAUAUGAAAAUUUUACUAAAGCAAAAGUGGAAUUACAACGAAUAAAAAGAAUGGAAAACUUGGUACCAAGCCUAGAAGACCAUCCUCAAACUCCACUAUACAAAUAAAAACUAACAUCAGACCAAACUUAAUUUACCUCUUAGAUGACUUGAUCCUUCAAAUUUGUUGAUUGAUAGAUCUAAAUACCGGAGAGAUGAAAGCUCACUCAAAGAUAACAAAAUGCUAUCAUUCAAGUAAUUUUCACUUAAGUCAAGGAUCUCCAAAUUACUCAAUGUGGAUGAUAGUUUUCCAAAGCCUGUAGAAGUGUUCUUUUAAAUAUAUACAAGUUAGUGACUUUUCUUUAAUAAAAUAAAAUAAAAUAUAAGUAAUUGUAAAUUAACAAUGGUGAGAAUAGUGGAAUAGUAAAAGAUGUAAUUAAGGAAAAAUUAAAGGCACGACCUUCAUUUUCAAGGCUACCACCUAUGACAUUUCCCGACAAAUAAAGUCUCUUCAAUUCCUCAAAAGGAAGAAACAUAGAGGCAUUGAGAUACCAGGCAUUGAGAUUCCUAUUAUCCAUGACGUAUUCCAUAUUGUCUUCCCAUUUUGUAGAAUUAAGGGAGAGUUGUAUGAGUCUCCUAGUGGUGGUGUUACACUCAACUCUUUCCCAUUUACAACAAUCUGAACCCUUCACCUCAACCCAACUUUGCAAUUGAUUACGAUAAUUGAAGAAAGGCUUGAGAUGCAAGAGAGCGAUUCUCUCAUGCUCCAAACAAGCAUCAGUAGUACACCAACUGCAUCUUUCUAACACCAACAACAUUACUGCCAUCCUAAUAAACCAUAAGUACCAUUUCCACUCCAUCAUCAUCAUCAUCUUUCUGUUUUCACUUCUCUCUCAGCUAUAUGUUACUUUUUCUUAACUUCUAUAUGUAUAUAAUCUAAAGAAGCCUAAGCUUCUUUUUUAUAUACAAGCAGAACAUUUUGCAUCCCACUAAUUUACUAUAAUAUAAAAAUAAUAUAUAAUUAAUUAAUUCCUCAAAAAUUGGAUCAAUCUAGGCUUCUUAUUUACGUAAAUUCCUUAUUGCAAAACCUCUUGGUAGAAAUUCGUUAGGAAAGGAUGAAUGGACCACAAGAAUGCUUAUCAACUCUUGACUUUGGCGUCCAAUGCUAAAUUUAUUUUAAAAUUUCUUCAUGGAGACAAGAUGGGAUGACAAGAAUGAUAAGUUUUAAGUCAUUUAAGUUUACACAAUUUUAAUCACUCAUAAAAACAAGUAUUGACAUUCUAUUAAAGAAUUUAAACAUGGCUUAACGUUGAUUUUAAAUCUAAUGUUGAUGUUAAUCUUGAAAAAAGAAUGGCCAAAAAAAUAUGAAAAGUGAGAGGUGGACAUAAAAUAGUGUAGUUGGGGUUAUAAAAUUCUUCAUGUAGACAUUAUAUUUUUUUUAUGCCUUUUUUACACUUAUAUAAAGUUAGUCUUGACUUCGCUUUAUUAAUAGAAAUUUUAGGUCUUCAUUUUUUGUUUUAUUCAUGGGCAUAAUAUUUUUUUAUUUUUAUUUUAUGGUCUAUGAUCGAGGUUUAUGACUAUCCCCUUUCAACAACGUCGUCUCAACUGUUCAAACAUACCCUUGCAGGUAAAAUAAUACUUUUUAAAAUCACAAAUAUUUAAGAUAAUACAUUGCAGCUAUAUAAAUGCUUUCUUGUUUAAGAUACUAAUAAAGUAAUUAACAAAGUAAUUAUUAUACCUAUAAUAAUUCAAAAUGCCACUUGUUAUCUAAUGAAGUAUAGGGGUGCAAAUGAGACAUCCGUACUCGCAAGCUAUUCGAAUUUGGCUCAAAAACUUUUGAAAUUGAUUUGGUAAUUAUUGAGCCGAGCUAUAGGUCGAUCCAGAUUCGAGCUUAGUAAUACUUAACUCGAGUAUUUUGAGAGCCUUAUUGAACUUUUUAUAUUUUUAUAUUAUUAGAUUACAUUAUUGCUAUUAAUAUAUAUUAUUAACUCUAAGUUUAAUUAUAGAGGCGAGCUCAAACUCGAGUACAAAAAUUGAUAAACAUAUUUAAUUUCGAGCUUAAAAAUAUAUGUUCGAUCGAGCAUCAAGCUUUGAAUUUCAAAUUAAACUUGAGUUUAACAGUAUUGAGUUCAAAUAGAUUCAAUUACACCCUACAAUAAAAUAUACCAACAAAACCUACAUUCCAUCUUUGCUAUAAAUUUUAUGUAUGUGUGUGUUUAACGUGAGUUCCAUCUAUGUCCAACUUGAUGACGAUGAAAGUUCCUAUGGUGUAAAAAGUUUUAAUUAUGUGGAAAAAUAAGGUCUUCUCUUCACACGUUUAAUAUGCUUACUUGUGUCGGUCAUUUCGAGCUUCACAUCAAUUUUCAAAAAGUUGGAAAACUUAUGUCUGCUUUUAUGAUUCUUUUAUGUGUGUGUUUAACGUGACUUCCUUGUGAGUUCCAUCUAGGUCCAACUUGAUGACAAUGAAAGUUCCUAUGGUGUAAAAAGUUUUAGUUAUGUGGAAAAUUGGUGGAAAACUUACGUCUUUUCACUUGCUUUUAUGAUUCUUUUUACAUGAUAUUACUAUAUAAUUAAAUUGAAAUACUGAUAAAUUUGAACCCAUAUGAUGUAAGUCUAGGCAUCAUCUAAUUUAUUGAUAUUUAAUUAAUUAAUAUAUAUACUUUCAAUUAUAAGAAUUGAAACAUAACUUUCAAGCCAAUUGGAGUAUGCCCCUGUUACACGUCAAAAGAAGUAGAUUUUGAACUCAACAUGAACCUGUGAGAUUUGAUGCCUAAAAUAUAGGUAUAAGGUUUCAAUUCAUGGAAAUGUUGGAAAUCUUGGAAAUUUCUUAGUCUCCUCUCUUUGGAUGUUUUUGAACAAAAAUGUUUUAAGUCUCUUCCGAUGCUAAACUUCUGAUUGGUCGUCGGUUCACUGACCCUUUGGUACACAGCAAUAUGAAGCAUUGGCCAUUCAAGGCCAUUGCUGGUCCUGGUGAUAAGCCAAUGAUUGUACUACUAUAGAUUUGAAUAUUUGUACACAUUUGAUCGGCUCUUCGUAAAUUUAAAUCUUACAAAUUCGGAUAAUAUUUGAACUUUGAAUGUAUGUUUUGUUGGUGAGAAUAUAAAGUUGAUAAAGAUUUGGUAAAUAGAGUAAAUUACUAUUUUUAUUAGAAAAAUUAUUUGGUACACUGCCAAUCGAGGUAAUUAAAACAUGUCAUAUUAUAAAUAAUAAAAUUAUGAUGACUCAAAUAUACGAACAUGUCAAAAUUUAUGUACAACAAAUUAUUAACAUGUAAAUGUAUAAUACGGUACGCAAAAAUAAGAUAAUUUCUUGUUUUUUUAAUUGAAUUGUUAUAACAUAUUAUACAAAAUACAUCGUGAAUUAAAGCAUAAUAUGAACAUGAUAUCAAAAUAUUAAUUUUUUUUAAAAUUCAAUGAUACGAAUAAUUAUGUAAAAUAUAACAUGAUACAAAAUAUCUUGAGAGGAAAAGAGGAAUAAAGAAUUGCAUUAUUUGUGAGGUUUUAAAAUAUUCCAGUUUUAGAUUCAAUUUUCUAGUAUGUUUGGUUUAAUUUUACAUUAGAUUUCCUUUUCAGUAUGCACUAGUGAACGCUUAGCAGUCAGUUUAAUUUAAUUGAAAGAGAUAUUGCAUAUACAUAAUAAUGGAUUAUGAUCUUACAUUAAAUUUCAUAGAAGAAAAAGAAAUAGAUGGUUGAAAAUGAUAAAACCAUAAGAUAAAAGAGCUUUUAUUCAAAAUGCAAAAAUCAACAAAAUAUUCAUUAUCACUCAACUUAGCAUAAUUAAACAUUUAGGUGAGGAAACAAAUCACAAUUUGAGUAGCUAAACACAUUGCUUGAAAAUGUGAUAAGUAAGAAAAUUGCCCACAUUUGAGUAGCGACAUGUGGUGAUGCAUUUCCCAACGAGAGAAAACUAAGCUCUUCACCAGUAUGGAUUUAUGUAGAGGACAACAAAAAUUGUCAACAACACAACUACAUAAGAAACCAAAAAGCUCACAAAAAAAUCAUAAGUACCUAUCAAACCAUCUUCUCCUUUAUCUUCUGAUACAGUUGAUAUCGUUGAUGGUGAAUCAGUUUUGGAACAACUUUUAUGCAAUAUAUCUCCACAAAGAAAAGGAUUUCCCUCAUAACUGUUUUCAAUAAAGGUCCCAAAUUGAGCUUUUGGUUUGGGAAUACUACCUGACAAGUUGUUGUAUGCCACGCUGAAAACCUCCAAAGAGUUCAACUCUACCAAUUGAUAGGGGAUUUCACCACUCAAGUUGUUGUAAGAAAGGUCCAAACUCUCAAUGUGCUGAAGUUUUGAGAAUGAUGAGGGUAUAACUCCGGUCAACUUAUUGUGUGACAAGUUUAAAGAAUGGAUUUCACUCAAGUUCCCUAAUUCUGGUGGGAUAUGACUAGUUAAGUUGUUGCAAGAUAAAUCAAUCCCAGUCAUAUAUGAAAGGAUGUCGCCAUUGUACGAAUAGAACCCACUCUUUGUUGUGAACUCUAUUACUUCUUCUAAGUAGCUUAGAGGAUAGUAAGAAUCCAUUUCCAGGUUUCCUAUCAUAAUGCGUGUUGAUUCAUCCUCUUCUAUAGAUGGCCCAUAGAACCCAGUUUCUAGAAUCCUCUUCAUUUGUAUUGGAAGAGAUAAAUUUCCCAAACAAGAAGGUAUAGGACCAGAAAACAUAUUUUGAGAAAGAUCUAUGAUGCUUAAAGAAUGCAACUUGCAUAACUCAAUAGGAACUUUACCAUGAAAAUGAUUAUCUUUCAGGAGAAGAACACUCAAAGAAGAAAGCGUGUAAAUCCAUUUUGGAAUACUACCUGUCAAAUUGUUUCCUCUAAGAUCUAAAGUCACUAUUGAAGAGUUAUUAUAAAAAGCAAGUGAUAGUGUGCCUCUCAGUCUAUUCCCGUGGAGGUGGACAUGCUCUAUGUUGGUGGAUUAAAACAUGACGGUAUAGAGCCAGAUAAAUUAUUUUGAGAAAGAUCCAAAAAUUCCAACCUAUUCAACUUUCAAAAUUCCAUUGGAAUAGAACCUUCAAAACCAUUGUUGGACAAAUUUAAUCUCCACAAAAAUGAUGCAUUCCCUAUCCAUCUUGGGAGCUUUCCAUGCAACUUGUUACUGAGAUCAAUUUCGCUUAGUGAAUUUGGAAACUCAAAAAGAAAUGUUCACACAAAGUUUUUUCCAACAUAUGUCUGUCAUUUGUGGGGUCUUGAAUUUAAUAUCAAUGGUUGAAUUUUCAUAGCUAAUAUGUACGCAAAAGGCUUAGUGGGUGGAAUUUUAUGUCUGGAAAGCGUUUCUACAAUGACAUAAUUAAUUGCAUUACUUUUCAAAGAUUGACUAUUGACUUUGGUGAGCUUAUUAGGUUAAAUUCUGCUGCUGGUCACUGUUCUUUGUAAAAGUUGUAAAUUUAGUCUAUUUUCUUCAAUUUGAUCAAUUUUAAUCCCUAUACAUUUUGAAUUUUAAAAUUUUAGUUGUGACCCAAACAAUAGAGUUAAAUCAAUUUAAUUAAAACCAAUUACUAGUCCUAUAUUAUGCGUACAAUUGUUGAUUUAGUCCAUACUCUUCAAUUGGAUCAUUCUAAGUACCUAUAUUUUUCAAAUUUUAAAAUUUCAGUCUUGAUGCAAAUGACAAUCCUUAGUCUGUUAACUAGAUUUUUAGUAACAUAUGAAAAUAAUAAGAUGAUAUGACAUUACAAAUAUGAUAAUAUUUUUGCAUUAAAUAUGUCAACAAUGACAUAAUUAAUUGCAUUAACUUUCAGACGUUGACCAUUGACUUUUGCGUCAACCUUAAGCUUAUAUAGCCCCUACAAUAAUUUAUAGCCCCUACAAUAAUUUAGGUUAUGGAAAUAAUCUUACAAUUAAUGCCUGAGAAAUUAUUAUAGAUCAAUUUAUAGUUUUAAUCCCUAUAAUUACUCAAUUGAAUUAAGAUUCAGUUUUUCUUAUUUAAUUUGAUAUAUUUUGUUUUCUUAUUAAUGUUAAUGUUAUGGAUUAGUUUUUUUUAAGACAACUUCAUUAUUUUAUUCAAUGAAUAAUACCAUACAAUUCGGGGGAAAAUAACAAGCAAUCGUUGUACUCCUUAAAGGACAAGCUCCAUAAAUACAACAAAAGCUUUAGCUUCAACAUUAAUACAACAUUAUGGCAUGUUGAAAUCGGCUCCGUCACAACUCAAGCACAACAUAUCAGGAGUGAUUACAAGCACUUAAUAUAGUAAGAAAAUCAACCCUGGAUGGUCCAAAGCGGAGGGCAUAAAUCGGCAAAAGAACUGAGCAUCCACCAAACUAGAGGGGAUGUGGCGACAAAACCAACCCUAAAAUUACUAGCAAAAGCAAGACUAAAAAGCGUACUACAAGAGUAGACAAAAACUUCUAAAAGUUAAACAAUGGAAAAAUAAACAAAAAAAAUACAAAACUUAAGAUAACAUGAGUCUAAAACGAGUCAUGAAAUCAUUUAUUAUUUUGAAACUCUCAAAACAUAAACAAAUUAAGAUAUCAACGAAGAGGUACCCACUUUCUAAAAGAAAGUGUUGGUCGUCGGUGGUGUUUCAAUGAUGAUAGGCAUUGUCACCUGUCCAUCACAACUUGUAAAGACAACAAAAAUACCCACAAAAUAAAUCUGUAAAUUGAAAAGAACGAAGACUCAUGGAGUGAAUGAGAAGAAGAAAAAUAAAAAGGGUUAAUAGGGAGGAGAAAAAGGAGGGCGGUAACUAAUCCUGAGGCUAACACCGCUGGUAGGCUAAAAAAAAAAAAAAAGCAAACAUGUUGUGGAUUAGUUAAAAUAACUAACAUCAUUGGAAAUUUCAUUAGUUGGCUGAUUUGGAUUUUUUAAAAAAAAAAUUGAAACUAGAAACCAUAAAUGAUCUAACAUUUAGAAACCAUAAAUUGGGUUUUUUUUCAAUUGCUUUGCUGUCCAACUCCAUCCAUCUAAAAUCGCAAGGAUGUACCCAUGUUCAAUAUGCAGUACAGAGUACAGACCCAAAAAUUGACCAUAUAAUGUGGCUGAAGAGAAUUUUCGAAUGGUUUUAAAGAAUUAUGAGAACACAAUGAAUAAAGUUAAGGCAUCAUUUAUUCAGCUUGCUAUAAUGCAGGUCAUUCCAAUAAAGAAGCAUUUUUUAACUACAUUUUCCGUUACCCCAAUAACAAUGAAAUCCCUUAUUAUAGCACAGUAUGUUCUCCGAUGAACAUAGAACUCACCAUUUUUAGGAACACGUGUAGUUGAGGAUGAGAAUUCGGAUCAACUGUAACUUCAAAUAGUGGAAUGAAAACAUUGUCCAGAAUAUUCUGAAAAGAUUUUACAAUUCCCAUUUGCUUGUACACAUUAUACAAUCGUGGUGACUGCAGAAUUAAGUCAAAAUCAAGUGAAGAAGGUUACCUUUGACUUGAGAAAUAUAUCACAGAGAGAGAGAGAGAGAGAGAAAACAGUAAUCUGGAAAGAUGAUGCUUAAUAUGGACAUGAUACCCUAAAAACCGAUCUUAAAUUUUAAUUUCUAAAAUGUUAUUAGCUUGUGCAUACUUUCAAAUACUUUUCAUUAGAGUUACCAUAGACUAAUUUUUCCAAUUUUAGAUGAUUCAAGAAACUACUUGGGGGCAAUUCUUAAAUAAACAUGUCCGAACAGUAGUCAUUAACAAGAAAGCAUCCAAGAAAACCAGCAGUUAAUACUUAAAUAAACAUUAUCAAAUGGAGAUGUAAAGAAGAAAGAAUCCUACUGCAAAGCUAGAUAGCAGGAGAAUCACUAGAAUGAAGAGAAAUACUAUUGGCACUAUACCUGGAUUAACCAAACAGUAGUCUCACUAUAAAUUUCAUUGUUAAUAAACCAACUUGCCAACUGGUCCCAUUCACUUUGUUUCCUUCCGUAUAUGGACACCCUGUACUCUGCCAUCUUGAAAAUAUAUAUAUUAUUCAGUGUAGUCAGAGGCGCAAGGAGCACUCUAGGUGCUAGAAUCCUUUUAUUAUAUAAGGCACAUGGCGCACAAAAAAAAAAAAAAAAAACACUUGCUUGUGUUAAGGCACAUGUAUGCGUGUUUUGGUAUGUCCAUGUCUGUAUAUAUAUAAGCCGAAGAUAUAUAAUUAUAAUAAUAAACUAUAAAAGUGCUCCAGUUUGAAGUACAGAACAUGCCAAAUUUUCUUUCUUUUGUCAACCAUAUGCAUAUUUCCAUAUGAUCCCAUGCCUGGUGUUGAAUACUCAAAUAUUGAGAAGUAGAGAGUUCGAUAUUAUCCCUUUGUUACAAUUAAGAAACAAUUAAAGAGAUAGUAAAGAGAACUUCAAUUAGAAGGCCUUUUCCCCCUACAUGCACCAGGCAGGCGCUUAGCCUGAAAAGGUCAAAGGCCCUUUUACUGUCUGGUGAAAAGGCAAAAAACAUUGGACAAAGUUGGUGGGAGGAUGGAAUACUAAAAAGAGCCCAAUGUUGUCACUUUUCUAAAGUAAGCUCAUAUGCUUUUUUUGUACCCAAACAAUAUCUCACCCUUUAAUUUGUACCUAAAGAAAUUAUUUCUAAUAGAAAGUUUACUUUUGUUAUGAUCAAUGCUGGAGGCCAAAACUGAUUUGGGCUAAGGAAUUGGUGGUGAGAGUUGGGAGGCAAGAAGAAAGAAAGUCCUUGAGUGUUAUAUUUUUCAAAAAAUACAAAUUGUUCAUUUUUUUACCACAUCAUCAUGCCAGGUCAGCUUCCAUGUGGAUAAAGAAAAUUUUGGCGGCAUUGAAACAGAGGCUCACUUAGGAAAAAGAAGGAUACUUCAUGGGCUUUUAGUAAUUUAGCCCUUGGAAGGAAUAUGACCAUCCAAAAAAAGGCAGUUGAUGCUUUAAGGUCAAUUAGCCGAAACAAUAACAACAAUUCCUAGGCUUCAAUAAAAUAAUUUAGACAACAAAUAAAGCUUUAAGGUUGAGUUUUGCACUGCAGCAGCAUUGGGUUUUACAAGGUGAAAACCCACAUUGCAAAAAAAAUAUCAAAGUUUCAGAUCAAUCAUAAUUUAAAAUUCUAACUAAACCAAACGCCAAUGCUGAAUGCCUAAACAAAAAACAUAAGAUUAACCCAAGGACCUAAUUGGGUAUGCUAAAAUUUGUCUUGGAAUGAAAUUAAUAAUAUCCUUACUAUUUCACUUUUUUUCUCUUCAUAUGUUUGGUGUGAGCAUGAUACAGAUUAGACUGAUUUUAAAGUAAAAGUAAAACGAUACCAAACCUAAACAUUCUGGUUUUUUUUAAUUUUUUAUCAGAGCCCUGUUUGAUGCAUUUUUAGUUUUGUUUUCUAAUAACAAAUGGAAAGUUAAUUAAAAAAAAAAAACUCUAAUCCAAUGAGUUCUUUUAUAGAUACAAGAUAAGUCCUGCAAAGUUUUUGUUUUUUAGAAAUAAAAUUUUAUUUUUGUUUUUUAAUUGAUCUUCAUACCUAUUUUAAUAUCUAAGUUCCGGAUUCCUAACUGCCCUAUCAAUAAUAUAGUAUUCAAGAUUUGAACUUAUAUUUUUCUUUAAAAAUAUAAUGUAUUUUAUUAUUGUAUUCUACAUUCAUUAAUACUUAGUAGAAAUAACCUAAUAAAUUGAAUUUUUUUCAUAUAUUAAUAGAGAUAAGUUCGUGCAAAAUUGUUGGUUGAAAAUUCAUGAAUGUACCAUCAUCAUAAGUGAGCUCAAUGAUGCUCUGUCAUCUCAAUAUGAAGCCUCCUAUCAAUCACCAGUCUGCAGAAAACAUUUGAAAUCGAAACACCCCGGACAUCUCCGACAAAUCUGCCAUAACAUUAGCAUCUCUUCCAUUUUUCUAAACACAACCUCACGAAUGGAAAUCUUAAGCUCAUCAACGCUCGCAUAAAUGUACCAAUAUUUCCACGGCCUAGAUUUCUCAUUGAUACACCAAGAAAGCUUGACUAUGGAGUCGGAUUCAACCAUAAGCUUUCAGUCUAUAAUCCACUAGGAAUCCAAAAAAAUUUUAAAUGUUAUAUUAUUAUAUAAAAAAUUGAAACAUGACUUCCGUAGGUUUUAAAUCUAAUGUUGACACUAAUCUUGAAUAAGUCAUUCCCCUCCCAUCUUAACUAAUUGCCAAAGAGCUAUCAAAAGUGGGAGAUGGCCAUAAAAUUGUGUAGUUUGGGUUAUAAAAUUUUUGUUUAGUUAUUUUGAUCACUCCAGUUAAAAUAAAAAAUUGUAAACUGACGCAACAGUUAAAAAAAUGUAUAAUAACAAAUUUAACCCUCAAAUUUUAUAUAUUAUAUCAAUUACAUAUUACAACUACAUAUUUUAUAAUUAUUGAUAUCGAAUAUGUCCCUCACUACGCUGGGGAUUUUUAUUUUAUUUUUUUAUAAUUUGUUUUUAAUUAAUAUUUAAAAUUAAUUUCAAAAUAUUUGAAAAUUUUAUAAUUAUUUGGUGUUAGUCCCUUCAUUAUACUCAAAUUUAAGAUUAAGCCCCUAUACUUUAAUUUUGACAUAAUUUGGUUCUUUCACUUUUAUAAUCUCAUUAAUUAUUUCAAGUAACUAACACUUUUAACAAUGCCAAAUAAAAUAAUGUCAUAUUUUUUUCUUAAAGCCAUCACUUCUAACUAAAUAAUGACUUAAUCACUUUCUAAUUAAUCAUACUAACGUAGAAUUUUUUUUUUUCGUUGGAAUGAGUAUGUUUAAAGAAAACCCACCUCAACAUUUGUAGAUGUCUUCAACAAUUUCCUAAGCACGAUACAAUAAAGCUUGGUGAUCGUAUAAUUUUGUUUUAUGGAAGCUCCAAAUUAUGUUGAUUCUUGAAUGAUACGGUCUGCAUGGGUUUGUUUUGGGUGCUAUUAGUGUACUAGCACAGUUUGUAGUGGAUAAAUAUGGGAGAUUAGUAGAAAAUUCUGAUUAUGUUUUACAUGUGCAACAAGAUAAGCUAUUGGCUUCUUGGUUACUUUCAACUGUUAGUGAUGAAAUUCUAGCCUAUCUUACUAGUGCUCGUACUAGUUAUUAUAUGUGGGAAAUUACUGGUGCCUGCACCUACAUUACUUACUAGGUUGGGCGGUAUAGUGCAAAGGAAAUAGAUUUCUGGUGUCUGCACCUAAAUUACUUACUAGGUUGGGCGGUAUAGGUUGUGAAAUUGAUAAAGCCAAUAAUUUCAGUUUGAAAUAUAAUGAUUUCUGUUGGGUUGCUCAAAUGCUUUAGCAAGAACACGAGACAGAAAAAUUGUCAAUUAAGCUUUACUAGGAUGAAGGGCGACGAUAAUUGUGUUGGUGAACGGAACUUUUCCCUUACAAAAUCUUAAAUAUUCAAUCUGCGUAUUCUUUUUAGUCCCAAAAAUAACAAUGUCAAUUCGCAUCAGUUCCCUUAUGCUUCAUUUAGUUUCAUUUUUCUCUUCUACUGUAAGAAUAAGUGCAUUUUUUUUCCUUCUUAUGUCCUUAUUUUUGGAAAUUGAGAUUUUCGAUCUCUUUUCUACCGUCUCAAAAAGUUGACAUGGCAGUCACUGUUUAUUUGGCUGGAUGCCCGGGCUUUAAUGGGCUAAAGCCAAAGCUUAUUUCAAGAUUUGUUGCUGUUUGUACCUGAUGGAUUUAUUGUUUCAAUUCAUUUCUUUUUACUUUUCAGAUUUUUUUUUCCACUUUUCUGUUUUAUAGGGCUCUUAAACUGUUUCAUGUUGUCCAUUUAAAGGCGUUUAAGAAUUGCAUUUACAUUCUUCUAUGUUUAUUUUACUUUUACUAGAUAUUGCACGUUGAAUUGUUAAAGCCAUAUGACACUUCAAGGGGACCUGGUUAGUGGUAAUUUAGUUUUGUCUUCUGUGACCUAAUUAAUUGGCCCACUGAUUAAUGGGCGGGAACAUGCUGUGCAGGUAAAAAAUGAGUCUUUGAAUAAACUGAACGAGCUUGAGGAAAUGCGUGAGAGACUAGAGGCAAGGAAAGUAGUUAUGGCAAACAUGUCAACUCGUUGCAAAGUUGCAACAGAGGAUGCUAAAAAACAGGAGGAAAUGCUUAGUACUGAAGUAAGAUCAUUGUUGGUUGCUGGUACCUCUCUUUCUGUAGCAAGGAAGCGAUUACAGGUGAAGCUUUUAUAUUCUAGCUUAAAUUAGCUUUGGAAUUUCAUUUUGAUAUUAUCAUGAAUGCUGAAUUUAUGAUAUAUUUGAAGGUUUCUUCUUAUUCAGCUUUAGAUGUUAUUUAUUCUCCUCUUGGAUCAAUAAGACCUCUCUCUUUGCACCUCCACCCCCUGUGAAGGUGGUUGAGGGGCUUAGAUGAGAUGAUUCUCAUUCUAUGAAUUCCUUUGCAUAGUCAAGGGCUAUCCCCUUCUUGCUCUCCUACUUCUUUGUCUCUUUUUUUAGAUGGUUGGUAGUCUUGCAUGCAUGGCAUGAUUGAUUAUAUGUUGUUUUUAUCACAGGAAGCAAAUAGAUUACUCACUGAAGAAAGGGGUUGUGUUAACUUAAAAAUGUGCAAAAGAAGCUUCGAGCAAGGCAACAAUAUAUGAUAUCACAAGUUUCAUUACUGUAUCCUGUAAAGAUCUUGGUUGGACCUGCACAGAAGCAAGAACUUGAGUCCUACUCUAGCAGUAGUAGAUUAGGUAAUGUGCUAGUAGUUUUGGAUUGCUAAUGCUUUGCAAUAAAGCCAACAUAUGGUCAGUGUCGUCAAGGCAUGCGCCUAGGCAUGCCUACCCCUUAGUUUUAUACAACAAAACGCCUUGUACCCAUCCAGGUGAGGUCCAUUUGAUCAAGCGCAUGCCUGGUGCACCUAGGCACACUUUUUUUGUAAGGCAAUGGGCAUUAGAAAAAGCCUGCCUUGUUGAAUUUCUCAAUAAUUUAUUUUAUUUUUCACUGUUUUCAUUUGAUAUACCUUUACUAAUAAGAAAGGGAUAAUAUCAAACUCUAUAGUUCUCAAUAUUUGAGCAUUCACCUAUAAAAAAAUUGCAAGUUUUGUGGAUAAACCAGACCACACUUUAGAGUUUACUAUAUAUCUUAAACUUUUAUGUUAUAGACACACAGACUUGCAAAAACUCUCACAUAUACGUAUUGCGCUUUACUGCACUCUGGCUAGCGCUUCCUUUUGUGCCUUGCUCUCGAGGCAAUAUAAAGGUUAGCACCUAGAAUGCGCCUUGCGCCCUAGACAACACUGCAUAUGGUUUUAAUUAGCAGCCAGUCUCCUCGUUUUGAAAUCAAUAUGUCUUUCCUGUUUAGUUUGUAGUUUAUUUUUAUAUUCUUAAUUAACAUUUAUCCUCUCACUUAUAUCAUCGAGAACCCAUUGUGAUGCUUGUUAUAUUUCCUCCUACGUUUUCUUUUUUGUUCUUGAGAUUUUGGAUGUUCAAAAUGGUUUGAGGAAAACUUUACCAACAAUAGCAGCUUCUUUCUCUUGAACAAUUCCUUCUUGCAACACGGGGAAUAUCUAUAAAUGGCAUGCCUGGAUAUGCAUAUCCUUUGAUAUCAAAUAUGGUUGGUCCAAUAUGAUGUUUUACUAGGGGAGAAUAAAAUGAGUUAUUUUGGUCAACUGGACAAGUCUUUUAUGAUUCCUAAACAGCUUAAGGAGUACCAUUACCUAUCACUUGACUCUUCUUUUGGUUAUAAUGGUUGUAUUCAGUUAUUCCUCUUUUAGCAAUCUACUAUUCAAUUCUCCUCAUAUCAAAACAAUUUUUUUUUGCUCUUGAAUAUUAUGAACUUUUUACAUAUCUCUUACUUUCAUGAUUAUAUUUUUUUGAAUUUUGUUUUGACUUCCACAAAGAGGUGGUGUCUGGUGAUGUACUGAUACGAAGUUCCUUUGUUCCUGACUUCACUAGGGAAUCCUUCUGCAUCAAAGCCCGUCAAUCAAGGAUCGUUGACGAUUUUAGGUCUGAAUCUCACCUUGCUUCCUUUUACAAAGAUGAGUUUUUUCACUGACAAAAAGGAGGUUCAGAGAUCUGCAACUGCCUUGGGAUAUGUUGCACAUGUGCGUUCUAUUUCUUCUGUGAAGUUAUCAUUUAUUACUGAAUUUGUUUUUUCUGAUAAUAUCAAGCUGUGGAUAUCAAGUUUUUUGACCUACCACCUACAAUCCCUUGUUGCUUGAAGAUGCUGUAGUAAUUUUUAAAUGCUAGGAUGGUAAUAUGGUAUAGUGGGCUGCAUCUUGAUUGUUUAUUUCUCAUGCUGAGGCUAGAAUUUUAAUCAUACCUAUUAUUGUUUCUUGUUUCCUGCCAUUUCAUCAUUUGCAGGCUGUUUCACUAAUUGCAUCCCAUUUACAAGUUCCCUUGCGUUAUCCUCUGCGCUUGGGUUCAAGACACGACAAGAGCAGCAUAUGCUGUGUUCUUGUUAAACAAGGCAAGGUUUUGCAUAGUAGUAAUUCUUUUUCCAAGAUGAAUUAUUCUCCUUUGGCAUUUUUAUGUAUAUUAUUGGAUUCAAAUGGUCUGCAAAGUUAGCUUGUCAAUGCUCUUCAAUCCACAGGUUGGAAAAACAGUGCAUGUUUGUUCGACAGCAUUUACAGCUCAUUUUAUGUCAUUGAUAGUGGAUAAUCUUGCUUCCAUCAUCAUUAAUAUCAUGGUUGAAUUGUUUGGAAGAUAUUGGAUUUACAAUAUCCAGGUUCUUGUGAUAGACACUUGAGACUAUCUAUAAACUUCACCGGUAGAUUAGGUGAAGGAUUAUCAACAAAUUUGAAAAGUGUGUGAAUUCCCACCAUGCAUCUAAAAGGAGGUCCAGCACUCGAAUCUCAUUCCCCAUAACUAAAAACUAUGUCACUGUGACUUGGUCAUAUCUCCAUAUCCAUGUUCGAAUUCGGACAUGGGUAGUUAAAGAAAAAUGAAGAGUUGAUGCAUGAUAGACUAGUUCAAAAGUGCUUUUAGAAAAAAGUGCUGUUGAAAUGUGGUGCGGAAAAGUGUGUUUGUUAAUUUUUAGUGUUGUUCAUUGCUGUCAAAAGACGCGGUUGAAAGGUAAAAUGUCUUUUUUAGACAUGAUAGUAGAAAGUAAAAAAUUAGUCAAAUUAUAUGAUAUUUAAAUAAUUUAAUAUAAUGAUACAUGAAAUAUAACUUUUAAAUACCUUUUAAGUAAUUAAUAUAAAUUAUUUGUAAAAUUGAUUAUAUAUAAAAUAUUUUGAAAAAAAUUAAAUAUAAUAAUAAAUAAGAUUUAAACAAUUUAAUAUAAUAAAAUAUAAAAUAUAAAUUAAUCUAAUUUUUAUUUACCUUUUAAAUAGUUAAUGAAAAUAAGAGUAUUUUGACAAUUUUCACUUCCAAAUGACAAAAGCCAAAAGCAGUAGGUUUUUGACUACAAAAGCUAUGUGUUCUUCAUCACUUCUGGAGUGGAAAAACACUUCUGCAGUGUAAAAACACUUUUAAUAAUUCAAAAAGGCUUUUUCACCACAGUAGAGAAUGCACCAUAAAAUUGUAAAUAGAAAAAGGAAGGACCAAACAUUUUUUCUACCCUGUUUUUGUCUCCUCUUUGAAAAUACUUUCCAAAAAGUUUUAUCUUUUUUUUUUUUUCUGUUUACAAUGCCUUGAAUGCAAAUUCCUUAUAGAAGUGCUUUCUUUUGAUCCACUUGCAUCAUUGUAAGAAGUCUGCAUUGCCUUCUAACUUUCUUUGUUGAUUAUCUUUUAUUAAGUUUUCUGUUGGAUAUUAUAGUCAAAUUCCUUUACAUCAUGUAUGUUAAUUUGCUUAGCCCUGAUAAAUGUUAGUGUUGUGCGGAAGCGUGUAAAAGAGUAAAAUUAUUGUACUAAAAAAUCACACUAAGUUCAAUUCCCAGGAAAGAGAGGUGGAUCACAAAGAUCGCUUAAGUACCAGGUCUUUCCUAGCCAGAAUAUCCCUCAAUCGUAAUUUAAUAGCACAAUAAAUCACUACAAUCACACACACAAUUCAUGCAGAAUAAUACAAUAAAGAACACAAGAAUUUAACGAGGUUCAGCAAAUUUUGCCUACGUCCUCGGGCACUACCAAAUAUAUUUCACUCCAAAAUACAAGUGAGAAUUUACAAAGAGAGAGAGAGAAAACAAUGCCUUAAGUAGAGAAUGGCAAGUUUGAGAUACAGAAUGAGAGAUGGUCAUGCUUAUUUAUAAUUGAGGUUCAGGGAUCAACUUGCAAGGUCACUUUACAAUUAGGGACCAUAUAUUGCAAAUAUCUCAGAUUUUAUUAUGCCAAUAUCUCGAUACCCAUAUCUUUGACUUUCCAAUAUUUGAUACCCAUAUUUUUGACUUUCUAUUAUUUGAUACCCAUAUAUUUGAUUUUCCAUAAAUAUGGAUAAUUCCCAAUAAUCUCCACCUUAAAGAUUUGAUUCGAGUAAUCUUAUCUUCACACAAUUCUCUCUGCCUUUGUCAACAACACUUGAUAGUGCCUUCUUCAACUGUUAAACAUGCAGAAUAUUGAUCAAGUUCAAACAAUGUUCGAACUUGAUUGUUGUUACCACCUUGGUCAUCAUAUCUGCGGGAUUAUCUGCAGUCUUAAUCUUCUGAAGGUGAAUUUUCCCCUCAUCAAUAAUUUUCCGCACAAAAUGGAAACGUACGUCGAUAUGCUUUGAACGUGCAUGAUAGACUUGAUUCUUUGCUAAAUGAAUAGCACUUUGACUAUCACAAUACACAUUAAUAUGCUCCUGAACCAAUCCCAAGGUUUUAACCAUACCUUGUAACCAAAUAGCUUCCUUUACAGCCUCUGUUACAGCCAUGUAUUCAGCUUCUGUGGUUGACAACGCAACUGUAGACUGCAGUGUAGACUUCCAACUUAUUGGUCCUCCAGCAAGAGUAAACACAUAACCAGUGGUUGAUCUUCGUUUGUCCAAAUCACCGGCAUAAUCAGAAUCAACGUACCCAACAACACAUUUACCAAGUAUAGUAUCCUGCUUGAACAAUAAUCCAAUAUCCAUGGUCUUAUGAAUAUACCGUAGAAUCCAUUUCACAGCUUGCCAAUGUCCUUUUCCAGGAUUAUGCAUAUACCUGCUCACUAUACUAACUGCCUGUGAAAUGUCGGGUCUUGUACACACCAUUGCAUACAUCAAGCUACCUACUUCAUUAGAAUACGGAACUUGUAACAUGUAUUCUUUUUCCGUAUUUGUCGAAGGAGAUAGUUGUGCAGAAAGCUUGAAAUGAGAAGCCAACGAAGUACUUACAGCUUUAGUCUGCUCGUUCAUGCCAAACUUCUGUAGUAUCUUCUUUAAAUAUUGCUUCUGAGACAAACUAACUCUGCCAUGAGCUCUAUCCCUACAUAUUUCCAUGCCAAGGAUCUUCUUAGCUUCACCUAGAUCUUUCAUCUCAAACUCAAGGUUGAGUUGAGUCUUCAAUCUCUCAAUGUCAACUUUACUCUUAAAUGCUAUCAACAUAUCAUCAACAUAUAAGAGCAAGUAUACGAAAAAUCCUUCUUGUAGCUUCUGAAAAUACACGCAAUGAUCAAAUNNNNNNNNNNNNNNNNNNNNNNNNNNNNNNNNNNNNNNNNNNNNNNNNNNNNNNNNNNNNNNNNNNNNNNNNNNNNNNNNNNNNNNNNNNNNNNNNNNNNNNNNNNNNNNNNNNNNNNNNNNNNNNNNNNNNNNNNNNNNNNNNNNNNNNNNNNNNNNNNNNNNNNNNNNNNNNNNNNNNNNNNNNNNNNNNNNNNNNNNNNNNNNNNNNNNNNNNNNNNNNNNNNNNNNNNNNNNNNNNNNNNNNNNNNNNNNNNNNNNNNNNNNNNNNNNNNNNNNNNNNNNNNNNNNNNNNNNNNNNNNNNNNNNNNNNNNNNNNNNNNNNNNNNNNNNNNNNNNNNNNNNNNNNNNNNNNNNNNNNNNNNNNNNNNNNNNNNNNNNNNNNNNNNNNNNNNNNNNNNNNNNNNNNNNNNNNNNNNNNNNNNNNNNNNNNNNNNNNNNNNNNNNNNNNNNNNNNNNNNNNNNNNNNNNNNNNNNNNNNNNNNNNNNNNNNNNNNNNNNNNNNNNNNNNNNNNNNNNNNNNNNNNNNNNNNNNNNNNNNNNNNNNNNNNNNNNNNNNNNNNNNNNNNNNNNNNNNNNNNNNNNNNNNNNNNNNNNNNNNNNNNNNNNNNNNNNNNNNNNNNNNNNNGAAUCAUGUUGCUGUAAAAGUUCUUGGGUCGAAACUUCUUCAUCAUUUGUUCCUUCAAUAUUAGCUGGAUCAUCAUUAACCUUUUCAAGCUCCACCUGUUGCAAAGUGCCAUUGGUUGUGUAUCCUUUUGUGAAUCAUUGUUCUUCAUCAUGGUUGAUUCAUCAAAAGUCACAUCUCUACUGAAAAUUAUUUUCCUUGUAUCAGGACACCAGAGACGGUAUCCUUUUACUCCACCAGUUAUACCCAUGAAUAAUGCUUUCUUUGCUCUUGGGUCUAACUUAGAUUCUUUUACAUGAUAAUAUGCAGUGGAACCAAAAUCAUGUAAAGAAUCAUAAUCAGUAGCAGGUUUACCAGCCCACCUCUCCAUAGGAGUUUUUCCAUUUAUUGCAGCUGAUGGCAACCGAUUAAUUAGAUGGCACGCAUAUGUAACUGCCUCAGCCCAAAAUUAUUUGCCCAAUCCAGCAUUGGACAACAUACAUCGAACUUUCUUCAGUAUAGUCCGAUUCAUACGUUCUGCCACCCCAUUCUGUUGUGGUGUAUCUCGAACAGUGAAGUGUCGUACAAUACCUUCAUCGUGACAUACAGAUCAUUCUUGUACUCAAUACCAUUGUCUGAUCGAAGUCGUUUGACUUUUCGACCAGUCUGGGUCUCCACCAUCUUCUUCCAUUUCAGAAAUACAUCCAAAACUUUAUUUUUCCUUUUCAUUAGAUACACCCAUACUUUUCUUGAAUAAUCAUCAACAAAAGUAACAAAAUAGUGCAUACCUCCCAAAGAAGCCACUUUAGUAGGUCCCCACACNNNNNNNNNNNNNNNNNNNNNNNNNNNNNNNNNNNNNNNNNNNNNNNNNNNNNNNNNNNNNNNNNNNNNNNNNNNNNNNNNNNNNNNNNNNNNNNNNNNNNNNNNNNNNNNNNNNNNNNNNNNNNNNNNNNNNNNNNNNNNNNNNNNUUGCAAAGCUUUUUCACCAGCAUGUCCCAAUCGCAUAUGCCAUAACCUGGUAGCCUCUGAAUCUGCAUCUUUCGUAGAAGCUGUUGAUGUUGAUCCAAUAACUAUACUUCCAUUUAAAUAAUACAGAUUAUUCCUUCUUGUGCCUUUCAUCACCGUCAAUACCCCAGCUACUACCUUUAGUAAUCCAUCUCUCAAAGUGAUUGUGAGCCCUUUAGAUUCUAGGACCCCUAAUGAGAUAAGAUUUUUCUUCAAGCUAGGUAUGUAGCGAACAUCUGUCAAGACUUGAAUUGAGCCGUCGUGAUUCUUCAAUUGGAUUGUACCUACUCCCAUUGUCUUACAAGCGCUAUCAUUGCCCAUAAAAACAACUCCACCUUCUAGUUCUUUAAGACUAGAAAACCAGUCCUUAUUAGGACACAUAUGGUAUGUACAUCCCGAAUCCAAAAUCCACUCAUCUGUAUGACAUGCCAUUGCCAUGCCAACCAAGCUAAAGUCUGACUCCUCAUCAUGCUCUGCUACACAUGCAUCAGAAAUAGCUUUACCCUUUUGUAACUUAGGACAAUUCUUUUUCCAAUGCCCUUUCUCACGACAAAAAGCACAUUCAUCUUUGGCAGGUCUCCCUUUGGACUUACUCCUUCUACCAGAUUUGUUGCUGCGCGAACGACCUCUUACUGUUAAGACUUCUGUAGUUGUAUCUCUGUGAUCUUUUUUAUCUUUCUUUCGAGUCUCAGAUCUAUACAACGCACUACAGACUGCAUCAAAUGUGAUUGUAUCCUUCCCAUGAAGCAAUGUGGUGGUAAGAUGAUCAUAUUCAUCAGGAAGAGAAUUCAACAACAGUAAUGCCUUGUCUUCAUCUUCAAAUUUCUCAUCCAAAUUUAGCAAGUCUGCUAAAAUUUUAUUGAAUGAGUUCACAUGGUCAUUCAUCGGCAUACCGGGUGCAUACGUGAAUCGAUAAAGUUUUUUUUCAUAUAAAGCCUAUUUUCAAGACUUUUUGUUAGAAACUUUUCUUCCAGUGUAUCCCACAACUUCUUCGCUGAUGUCUCCCUCAUGACAGAGUACUUCUGCUAUUUGGCCAAACAUAGGCGAAUUUUUCCACAUGCCUGUCUAUUGAUCUUGGCCCACUCCUUGUCAUCCAUCUUCUCAGGUUUUUCUUCAAGGGCUAUAUCCAGCUCUUGCUGACAUAAGACAUCCAGGAUCUCACAUUGCCACAUAUCAAAAUUAUUGGUACCAUCAAAUUUCUCUACUUCAAAUUUCGCAUUGGUCACAGUAGUCUUUAUUGAUGACGAUGCCUUUUCCAUUUUUUCUCCUCAAUCCCAACUACAGUACGUGAACAGUACUGUGAACGAUCGUAUUCCCCAAGUACGAAUGUAGCUCUGAUACCAAUUGUUGUGCGGAAGCGUGUAAAAGAGUAAAAUUAUUGUACUAAAAAAUCACACUAAGUUCAAUUCCCAGGAAAAAGAGGUGGAUCACAAGGAUCGCUUAAGUACCAGGUCUUUCCUAGCCAGAAUAUCCCUCAAUCAUAAUUUAAUAGCACAAUAAAUCACUACAAUCACACACACAAUUCAUGCAGAAUAAUACAAUAAAGAACACAAGAAUUUAACGAGGUUCAGCAAAUUUUGCCUACGUCCUCAGGCACUACCAAAUAUAUUUCACUCCAAAAUACAAGUGAGAAUUUACAAAGAGAGAGAGAAAACAAUGCCUUAAGUAGAGAAUGGCAAGUUUGAGAUACAGAAUGAGAGAUGGUCAUGAUUAUUUAUAGUUGAGGUUCAGGGAUCAACUUGCAAAGUCACUUUACAAUUAGGGACCAUAUAUUGCAAAUAUCUCAGAUUUUAUUAUGCCAAUAUCUCGAUAUCCAUAUCUUUGACUUUCUAAUAUUUGAUACCCAUAUCUUUGACUUUCCAAUAUUUGAUACCCAUAUCUUUGACUUUCUAUUAUUUGAUACCCAUAUCUUUGAUUUUCCAUAAAUAUGGAUAAUUCCCAAUAGUUAGAUAUAGGGUUGUCAGCUAAUUAGGAAAGACUGUGAUGAUAGUCACACCUUACAUCCAAACGCAAAGCUUUUUACAUGUGUAUGUAAGGUUGCUAAGCAAAUCUGAUGAGCCUUCACUGAUGUUUUAAGGUUAAGUUAAUGUUCCUUUUCUGCAAAGAACAUUAUCGAGAUCACAGUAUUUUGAUCGCCUUUUGCUUGUUAUGUUAUUCGUUCUGAAACGAUUGUCUAAUCUUUACCGCGAUUGCAGGAUAUAGAGUAAUUUUUGAAUUUCAUCGGUGUAAAGAGUUUAGGACCUCGACAAGUUCUUGCAAAUUUGAAGGAGCUUCUAAGGUCUGUCCAGUCUUCAGAAUAUAUAGAUACCUGAAUUAAUUUUGAUUUUGUAGGAUCAACUAUAAUUUUGACCUUCUUCACACACGGCACGUGCGGAUUUUUUACCAAUCCCAUUUCAUUAAAGAAAAAAAAGAGCUUUAAAAAAGGAUCACACUUUUUUGUUGUUUACAGAAUCAUAAUGUUAAUUAGAGUGGAAUAUUUCAAAUUUCUGAUGAUGAGAAUAUUCUUGAGUAUUGCAGUAAAAAAUUGGGUGUGGAACUUAUUUGAAACUUUGAAUGUAUGUUUUGUUGGUGAGAAUAUAAAGUUGAUAAAGAUUUGGUAAAAAGAAUAAAAUACUAUUUUUUAUUACAAAAUUAUUUGAUACCCUGCCAAUCGAGUUAUAAUUAUCAUGACACAAUAUUAAAGGUAAUUAAAACAUGUCAUAUUACAAAUAAUAAAAUUAUAACGACUCAAAUAUACGAACAUGCCAAAAUUUAUGUACAACGAAUUAUUAACAUGUAAAUGUAUAAUACGGUACAAAAAAUAAGAUAAUUUCUUUUUUUUGUAAUUGAAUUGUUAUAACACAUUAUACAAAAUACAUUGUGAAUUAAAGCAUAAUAUGAACAUGAUAUCAAUAUAUCAAAUUUUUUAAAAAUUCGAUCAUACGAAUAAUUAUGUAAAAUAUAACAUGAUACAAAAUGACUUGAGAGGAAAAGAGGAAUGUAGACUUGCAUUGUUUGUGAGGUUUUAAAAUAUUCCAGUUUUAGAUUCAAUUUUCUAGUAUUUUUGGUUUAAUUUUACAUUAGAUUUUCUUUUCAGUAUGCACUAGUAAACGCUUGGUAGUCACUUUAAUUUAAUUUAAAGAGAUAUUGCAUAUACAUAAUAAAUUUCAUAGAAGAAAAAAGAAAUAGAUGGUUGAAAAUGAUAAAAUCGUAAGAUAAAAGAGCUUUUAUUCAAAAUGCAAAAAUGAACAAAAUAUUCAUUAUCGCUCAACUUAGCAUAAUUAAACAUUUAGGUGUGGAAAUCAAAUCACAAUUUGAGUAGCUAAACAUAUCGCUUGAAAAUGUGAUAAGUAAGAAACUUGCCCACAUUUGAGUAGCGACAGGUGGUGAUGCAUUUCCCAACGAGAGAAAACCAAGCUCUUCGCCAGUAUGGAUUUAUGUAGAGGACAACAAAAAUUGUCAACAAAGCAACUACAAAAGAAACCAAAA
This 78878-nucleotide long non-coding RNA is filed under the name Gossypium raimondii (Peruvian cotton). RNAcentral's name for it is "long non-coding RNA (GRAI_LNC003398)". The record is from RNAcentral. Lineage: Eukaryota; Viridiplantae; Streptophyta; Magnoliopsida; Malvales; Malvaceae.